RNAcentral lists this long non-coding RNA (63872 nucleotides) under Triticum aestivum (bread wheat). RNAcentral's name for it is "long non-coding RNA (TAES_LNC000252)". The stretch from base 59819 to 59930 matches the Rfam family "Bacterial small subunit ribosomal RNA", at positions 755 to 869 of the family's 1533-position model. Lineage: Eukaryota; Viridiplantae; Streptophyta; Magnoliopsida; Poales; Poaceae. The record is from RNAcentral.
AAGGCGUACAGUUCCUCCUCGCAUCAGCGUGUGUGCCGUAUGUGCAUGCCCGGGUGUACAUGUUUUUGGGUGAGUGGCUGUUGAUGCAUUUGCACAUGGGAGCGCAUGCAUGCGUGAUGUGUGGUGUAAAUUUUGCAGUUCCAUUGCCUCCAUCACCAGUGAUGGAUAAUUCUACCAUGAGGGAUGCAAAACUCAGAAAGGCUAGUGGCUACUUUAGUCAACGUUUGUAUGAGAAGUUUUGGCUGAUCUUGAUUCCUGAUCUUGUGGUUUCUUUUUUUGAGAUGCACAUUUGUAUAGCAAAAUAGUUGUAGAUGCAGAUGCACUUUUCAAGUAGCAGCUUUGAACUCUUGAUUUUUAGCUCAUGAGAAGAAAAAGGUCAGUCUUUCAGCUAGUGCUUCCCCUGUGCAAUUGGAGUAUUAUUAUGUUUGGUGGUACUGUCGAUGGUUUUGUUUCUGGUUGGAGCCACUCGCGUUCCUUGUAUCUUGUGAAAGUUAGUAAGAGCAUCUCUAACAACAGUCUCUUGGAGGUUCGAGACGCGGCAGGAGGUCUUACGAGAGGACGUAUCUGGUGCACCAGCGCUUCUUGUGCUACCGGUGCACCGGACGUCUAAACAUGUUCAAAAAAAUCCAAGAGAAAAUUGGUGUAUUAAAAAAACACCAGUCUAUGUUGUCACAAAAAUUCAAACUAAAAUUUAAAGCAUUCCUCGAAAUAUAAAAAUGACAAAUGUGGCAUCAAUGUAAUAAUGGGCCAAAUCUAAAGCCCAACCUGUGUUAUGUACUAUUCAAUAUUUUUGUAUCUUAAGCUAUGUUCCAAAUUUUGAUUUGAAUAUUUAUGACAACGUACAUUAAUAUUAUGUGAAUGUGCUAUAUUUUUUUUCUGAUUUUUUGGGACAUUUGAAAAUGUGCUAAGCGAGUCUGGUGCACCGGUAGCACAAGAACCUCCGGUGCACCAGAUAUGUUCUCGGUCUUACGAAUCCUUGUGAUUUACCCUAAAAGAGUUUGUGAAGGUUUAGAGGCUGCCUCGGGGUAUACCACUGGGAACUGCAUUCGUUGUGAUAUCCGAAGGAGAAUAAGGCGACCUUUCAUGUUAUUAGUGUGCCUUUGUGAUAACACCCGUCCCUCCAAAUGGUGAUCAGCUUGUACAUUGGGAUACAUCGACGUCUUCAGUUAUCACUAACCCUACUCCCAUGUGCGGUUUACUUUGGUCACUUGCUUUGUGUUCAUCAUAUAUGUUUGCAUAUUUGACUCUAGCAAUUGUUUAGGCAUAUAUUUAUAUUCCGACACACCAUCGACGUGGUGAGAGACCCCUAGUCGCCAGGAUACUCAAAAACACCCGUCCCUCCAAAUGGUGAUUAGCUUGUACAUUGGGAUACAUCGACGUCUUCAGUUAUCACUAACCCUACUCCCAUGUGCGGUUUACUUUGGUCACUUGCUUUGUGUUCAUCAUAUAUGUUUGCAUAUUUGACUCUAACAAUUGUUUAGGCAUAUAUUUAUAUUCCGACCCACCGUCGACGUGGUGAGAGACCCCCUAGUCGCCAGGAUACCAUCAGAGCGUCCUGCGCUUAGAAAACUGUCUGUUGGGACAUCCAACGAGGGGUAUAACCCCCAACUAGUCGUUUCCCUCUGAUUAUUCUAUGAAUUCUAUAUUUAUAUUCCGACCCACCAUCGACGUGGUGAGAGACCCCCUAGUCGCCAGGAUACCAUCAGAGCGUCCUGCGCUCAAAAAACUGUCUGUUGGGACAUCCAACGAGGGGUAUAACCCCCAACUAGUUCGUUUCCCUCUGAUUAUUCUAUGAAUUCUCAAAGCGGGUUUAUCAAAAUGCAAAAUCUAGGAGUACUUCAAAUAGACUAUACCUUAAUUCUCUCUCUAAAAAUAUAAUCCCUCCGCCAAAGAAUGUAGGACGUUUUUUCAGCUUAAAUUAAAGUGCCAAAAUUUAUUGUAUUUUCGUACAUAGGUAGUAGAAAAAAAGGCACCCGAGAUGCCUCUUACACAGGUCAUCUGCAGCAUGGUUGUACAUGCAGCGGCUUGUAUUUGUGGCCUGCGGAACAUGGGCCUGGCCUGGGCUGGAAAGAAGCAAGCGUGCGUUCCAUUUGGGGUGCGACGCGGGUGCGUGCCCCAAAAGGAGCCGACGGAAUUCUGGAAGCGACGGAGAGACCUGAUGCGUGUGCCAAGCGACGGCCAAAAGCGCGGUUUCGUUGGGUGUGCCAUUUGCCUGCCGCUAGAGUGGGUGCGCCACUCACUCGCUGCCAUGCGACCGCACUCAUCACCACGGCGCAACGCCAAGGCAAAGGCAAAGCUGCUUUGCGUCUAUUCGUCUCAAAAGACUAAACACGGAAAACAAGAGCCGGUUCUAGCAUCACUAAGGCCUUCAAAUAAGGCCUUCUAGAACGAGCACCGCAGCAGAAAAGCGGUUUUUCUUUACCGUGCCCGCGCGGCCGCAUCGCACCGACGGCCGGCCGCAUGAAAACAGAGCAACAUAGUGUGGUUUGACGUGGUACCGAACAUCGUGUUUCGCCGCUUCCUGUUUGUCUGCAACCGGCCUUGCCUAGGACGGGAUGAAUGGCGGGGGAAGAGCCAGGCUCCAAACUUUGUGUAUCCUCUCUCUACUCUCACCUAAUAUAAUCCAAAUUACAUCGAAAGUCAUCUAAAAUAGAAAUGGGGGACGCGACCGUGGAGCAGUUCUUCGACUAGAAUUUCCACGACACCGUAUCCAACAUCUUUCUUUUAAGAGAAAGAUCUUUGGUUAAAUGUUUUGAUAGUUUAGAAUUUAUAAUUCGUCUCCUACCUUAUCUGGGUUUCUUACCCUUUAAGUCUUGUACUCAAUAUAUACCCGUCUCCAAAGCUUAAUAAUACAUCGAUUCCAUCUUUCUAUCCCUUCUAAUAUGGUAUCAGCCUAACCGAUCCAACCCUAGCCACCGCCGGCCGCUUUCGCCAUGCGCGCCGCCGCCGGGGCGGUCGGCCUCCAUGACUGCCGCCGGGGACCGCGCUGCCCGUACCUAGAGUUCGUUCGUUGGUCGUGUUGACCGGCUGCCCUAGAGAGUCUUUUCCCGAGCCCUUGCUCCGGAUUUUUCUCUCUCUCUCUCACGGUUCAUCUUGAUCGGCGUUUUCUUUAUGGGUUUUCGAUCUAAGAUCGGUUUGCGUCACCCGCCGCCACCGUCGACCCCAUGCGCCUCUACUUCGACACCGGAGCGAUCGGCCGGCCUCUCUCCCGACCUGGCAGCCACGCACGCCGAGGCGGCCCGUCACGACCAGCCGCCGUCCGCGCGUCGGCCCAGCCGUCGCCGCCCUGCUCCGACCGGGACCUCUCCAACACCACCCGCCUCUGCCGCGUCUGUGUGGCCAUCCUGUUGUCUGCCUCGCCGGCCCCGUCGCCGGCUGCGUCGGACUGGUUGCCGGCUGCUUCGGGCUCGCCGGCUGCCUCGAGCUCGGGCGUCGCUGUUGUGUUGGUCGCUCGGGCCUCGCUGUCCGGGCGCCGACGCUAGUUGGCAACUCGGGCACCGAGUGCUACGCUCGUUCGCACGCCGUUCCCGCCAUCCAGCGUCGCCGGCUUCAUCUCGGACUCCGCCGCCACCCCGCCUUCAACGAGCGGCGUCCCCGCCCUCGCGCGCCAUCAGAUUGAUCACUCGCCCGCCGCCGCGAUCCGCCUCAUCUAUACCAUGCGACCGAUCUGGCCCGUCGGUUGCGUGCGCCUCCGCAGGUCCAGUAAAGACUAUCCCGAGUACAGCGUGCCCCUCCAUAGAUCGAGCAACGGGCUGCCGUUGCGUCACUCCAUCGGGCCGCAGCACCGCUGCCCUGUGGUUAUCUCCGCGGCUGCAUGGACUCGUGAAACGCCGCUGCAUCACCCCUUCGGGCCGUAGCGCUAUGGCACGUGGUCCCCGCCGCUGCUCGAGGCCGCCCCCUUCGGGCCGUAGUGUUGAAGAGAAUUCAAGAGCAAAUGACUCACACGUUAAGGGGCACCACAGGCCUCCAGGUGCCAAUGUGGUGCAGAAGAACUUCCACCAGUUUAAGGGAAAGAACUUGGUCCAGCAGAAUACCAACUUGAAGAAGAAGGGUAAGAACAACAACAACAAAAAGCACACAAAAAAUGGUUGCUUCACUUACAAUGACGAUGGCCACUGGGCCUCCAUGUGCCCGUGGAAGUUCAAGAAGCCAGGAAAGAAUUCCAGUCUGUUAACGUGACCAUGAGCAACAAUGAUAAUGGGGCAUAUGGGUACGCUAAUUUAUUUACUAUGUUUUCAAUUUGUUAGUCUAAUGAUUGGUGGAUUUAUACAUGUGCAAAUAUUCAUGUGUGUUCUGAUAUUUAGUUGUUCUCUUCUUAUCAGGUCACAUGAUGCUGCUCUGUAUCGACGAUGAAUGGAGCGAGUGCUUCCGUUCAUGGUGUUGCCAUGGUAGAUCUGAAGUUUUACUUUGGGAAAGACCAUGCAACUGAAGAAUGUGCAACGUGCCCCCGCUAUAAAAAAUAAUCUCAUUAGUUGCUCCCUUCUAUGUAAAGAAGGCUUUAAGUUAGUAUUCGAGUAUAAUAAAGUAGUCAUGUUGAAAUGUGGACUUUUUGUUGGAAAUGGGUAUGAAUGCAGAGGUUUGUUCUGCCUUUCCCUAGCUAAUUUUCAUAAUAAAGUCGUGAAACAUUCAAACGUUAAUGAAUCUGGCGUUUGGCAUUGGUUUUAUGACUCGGCUAACUUAGAUGACCCUAUUCAAAGGCACUAAAUGUCAUGCGUGUGUGCAAGCAAAGCAACCUCACAAGCCUCACAAGGCUGCAGAGGGGAGAGUGUUGGGAAAAGUAGUAGAAAACAAAAAAAAUUCGUGCCUACACACACCCAAGAGCAAUAUGAAGAUGCAUAACGAGUUGGGAUCACGAUCGUUACCGUCACUGAGUUGCAGCGAAAUAAGAACGUGUUGGUGUAGAUCAUACUUGGAGUCCCUCAAACCAUUGAUGAACGAUCCCACGAACCGCCUACAAACAGUCCCUCAGACUAAAGACCGUAAGCAUGGCCUCUCUACUUGGUUGCAAGCGUGCAACCUUCAUGAUCCAGCAGCGCUUCGCCAUCCAGAGCUAAUCAUUGCCGGAGAAUCAGAGGGAGGAGAUCAAAACCACACUUGGCUUCUCAUUAUGAGUAUUAGAGGAUUAGUCUAGCUCUAAUUAGUCAACUAGAACCAACUAGAACUAGAACUAGAAGAACUAGAGGAGGCCAAUCGCACUACUCGAAAUUAUCCAUGAGCUAAAACGCACCAAAGGGAAGGGCGUCCUACUCAAGUUGGAUUUUGAGAAAGCCUACGACCGAGUGAACUGGGAGUUCAUUCAGGAGGUUCUCCUUAGAAAGGGUUUCGAGGCGAGCUUUGUCCACCGUAUCACGCACUUAGUCAGCAGUGGUCAUACGGCGGUCACCAUCAAUGGCACGAUGGGCAAAUCUUUCCGCAACAAGAGGGUCCUUCGCGAAGGAGACCCUAGCUCCCCGCUCAUUUUUAACUUCGUUGCGGAUGCCUUGGCAGCCAUGCUCAACAAGGCAAGGGCGGCAGGGCAUAUCAAAGGCCUGGUACCCCACCUCAUCCCAGGUGGGGUUACUCAUCUGCAAUACGUGGACGAUACGAUGAUGCUCUUUGAGCCAUACGAACAUAGUAUUGCCACGAUUAAGCUGCUGCUUCUUGCCUUUGAAAUCUUGUCGGGGCUAAAGAUUAACUUCCUAAAGAGCGAAGUGAUCACAAUAGGGAUGACCGAUCAUGAUAGUGUGCGGGUGGCCAACCUUCUAAACUGCAAGCUUGGGGGCUUCCCGAUCAAAUACCUUGGCCUCCCAAUCUCUCAUAAGAAACUUUCCAUUGUUGAAUGGGAACCUUUAUAUGGUAAAGUGGCCAAUAGGGUGAGCCCUUGGAGAGGCAGGUUCAUGUCCUCGGCGGCUAGAUUGAUCCUCACCAACUCGAGCCUAUCUUCUCUUCCCCUUUUUACAAUGGGAAUGUUUCUCCUUGUGGAUGGUGUCCAUGCUAAGUUUGACACCCCUCGCUCCCGGUUCUUUUGGGAAGGAACUGACAAUAAACGCAAAUACCACUUGGUGAAAUGGGCAGCGGUCUAUAGACCAAAGAAAUCCGGAGGCUUGGGGAUUACUAACUCCAAGCUAAUGAAUGUGGCCCUUCUCACCUGGUGUCGCCUUGCCCAAAAUGAGUCGGGACUCUAGGCGGACAUCCUACGGGCAAAAUAUUUCCCGGACAGGAACUUGUUCAAGGCUAAACUAUCCGGCUCCUCGUUUUGGAACGGGAUUCAAGCGGUGAGGCCGGCCUUCUCUGUAGGGGCACAAUUCAACGUGAAUAACAGCAUGGCCACGAGGUUUUGGCUUGAUCUUUGGUACGGACAAUCGCCGCUAUGGCAAUCCCACCCGGUGUUAUACCAACUUGCCACUGACACUGUAGCGACUAGACCUCAAACAGUCUAGUCUCCGUGCAUCAGUGUCAUCCCUGGAUCGGUAAUGCUGACACGCACAGUACUUGAAGGAUUUAUAACAGAGUAGCAAUCACACACUUAUUACAUCGAAUAGUCUCAAGAGAGAACUUAAUACAAUAAAUAUGGCUUAAGGCCAUCUAAAUACGAUAACAACGGAAGCCUUGGAAGAUAAAGUGAGUCCAUCAACUCCAGCGGCAUCACUGAGUAUAAGACCACGACCUAAGGCUCCUUACUCGUCGUCUGAAAAGUCUGCAACAUGAUACGUUGCAGCCCGAAAACGGGUCAGCACAUGGAAUAUGCUGGCAAAGUAACACAUAGAGAGUAAUGAACAGAAUAAUGCUAUCACUACAUGCAUAUUUGGCUGGUGGAAAGCUCUAUGGUUACAGUUUUUGCGAAAAGCCAAUUUUUCCCUACCACAAAGGAAUAAAUUUUAUUUAACUAUCAUGGUGGUUGUUAAACAUUGAGAAGGUACCUCCAACUCAAUCCCAAUUAAGAACGUGAUUAACCCAAUCAAAUUAAAUUAAGUAACAUGAUGAUGAGAUUCACAUGAUAAUCCAAGAAACUAGAUACUCAAGAUGUCCAUAACCGGGGACACGGCUAACCAUGAUUAGAUUGUACACUCUGCAGAGGUUUGCACACUUUUCCCCACAAGACUCGAUCGCCUCCGCUUGAUUUCUCGCACUACAAGGUGUUUGAGAAACGGAUGACCGAGACACAGUCUUUCAAAAACACUACUCUUUACUCCGGGUGGACAGUUACACCUACUUUCCCCUGCAUGUGCUAGCCCACCUCUUCAAGAGGUCAUGUAACCUACUCAACUAUGCUAGAGCCCAUAAUAGCUUGUGGCUGCACACGGAAGUUUCUAGCAUGAAUAAUCUCAUGAUCCCUUUGAACCUGGGUGGCGGUCCAUAGGAUGAUCACACGGGUACUCCGGCAUAUCCAAAAAUACAGGCAACACUGGAUUCUCCAGGUGCCUCAAUCCACCUAGAUGUAAAUUAAAAUAGCCACCUUAAGUUGAACCUUAAAUUAACAAUCUCACAUCUGUCAUGGAAAAUUCACUCAAACCCAAUCCACGUCUACGAGCAUAGCAUAACAAUAUAAGCAACGCAGAAGUAACUCCCAAAGGUUUGAUAAUAAACAGGGCAAUAGGUACUACCUCAUCUACUUCCCAAAACCCACAUAUUAAUCAGAUCCUAAUCAUGCAAUUGUUUGAGGAUUGAUCUAAUGCAAUAAAACUGGGCGGUAAAGAGGUAUGAUCAAAGUGUUACUUGCCUUGCUGAUGAUCCGUGAAACCUAGAGACUCGUAGUAGCACGCUUCGCACUCUGGGUACUCUAUCGCAAACAACAACACAUACAUAAGCAAUCAAGAAAGGGUGCAUGAGUAAAACUCAAAAUAAGAGAUCUAACCAGAAAGUUCAACUUAAGAACUCCGGUUUGCAAAAAGAAUCAAAUCGAACGAAGCAACGAAACUCAAACGGCGAAAGAAACAAGCUUCAUUUACUAAUCUGGACCUAAGUCAAAUUUUACAGUAGCAAAAACUUGUUUGAGUUGGUUAAACAGAAAGAGGGUUUCAAGAUGAAACUCUAGGCGCUUGAAUCGCCUGAUUCCGAUAAACGAGCGAAAAGUUAUAUUAAAACGAAAAACAGAUCGGAAUCGCGAUCGAAAAUAAUCGCGGAAAAUCCGAGAAAAAGAAAAACUGACGAACAGGCUAACGAACGAAUGUUCGCUGUCUGCGAUUAAACGAGGGAAAUCAUUCGUUAAAACAAACGUACGGACGAACGUCCGCAAAAUAAAUAAACCGGCAAAAAAACUAAACCGAUCUAUAAAAUAAAAACAAACCGCGGUUUUUUUUAAAAACCGAGCGGUUCUCUAAAGAAAACCGCCGGCGGUGGCGGCGAACUCCGGCGGCUACCUCGUCGGGCGGCGGUGNNNNNNNNNNNNNNNNNNNNNNNNNNNNNNNNNNNNNNNNNNNNNNNNNNNNNNNNNNNNNNNNNNNNNNNNNNNNNNNNNNNNNNNNNNNNNNNNNNNNNNNNNNNNNNNNNNNNNNNNNNNNNNNNNNNNNNNNNNNNNNNNNNNNNNNNNNNNNNNNNNNNNNNNNNNNNNNNNNNNNNNNNNNNNNNNNNNNNNNNNNNNNNNNNNNNNNNNNNNNNNNNNNNNNNNNNNNNNNNNNNNNNNNNNNNNNNNNNNNNNNNNNNNNNNNNNNNNNNNNNNNNNNNNNNNNNNNNNNNNNNNNNNNNNNNNNNNNNNNNNNNNNNNNNNNNNNNNNNNNNNNNGAUGGGGGCUAGGGUUUCGCGGGCGGCUCGGGUGGGCUGGGCGCCGGGGUCGCGGCUUAUAAAGGCCGGCCCGAGGAGUCCCGCUCGGGUACGGCCCGGAGUCGGUUGACUUUUUUUUAAAAUAAUUUGGACAUGCAGAAAAAGUAAGAAAAGAAAUACUAAACGGACUCCAAAAAUCCCGAAAUAAAUUUUCCCCGUCCUCUAAAAAUAAGCCGGACAAGAUGAACAUUUAUUUGGGCCAAAAAUGCAUUUUUGAAAAACACGUAUUUUUCCUAAUUCAAAUAAAAUCCAAAUAAAAUCAAAUAUCUGUUUUUAAUAUUUUUCCUCCAAUAUUUCAUUAUUUGUGGAGAAGUCAUUUUAUCCCCUCUCAUAUAUUUUGAUAUGAAAUAUUUUCGGAGAGAAAAAUAAUUAAAACAAAUGAUCCUAUUUUCAAAAUAUGAGAAACCCAAAUAUGAAAAUAACGAAAUCCCCAACUCUCUCCCUGGGUCCUUGAGUUGCGUGAAAUUUCUAGGUCGCAAAACAAAAUGCAAUAAAAUAUGCCAUGCAUGAUGAUCUAAUGUAUAACAUUCCAAAUUGAAAAUUUGGUAUGUUACAGACACCAAUAUAAUGGUGGGCGAUGCAUUGAGAUCCCACUCCCCGGUGAUUUCCUUCGUGUGCCCACUUGACCCAGUCGAGGCUGCUAGCUGCGCUACGUUGGUGGCCUCCUUCGAGGGGAGACAUCUCAGCCAGGGGGCUGAUGUGCUGUCAUGGAGCCUAGCUGCGUCUCAAAAGUUUACGGUCAAAUCUCUCUAUUACAAGCUGACCGAGGGAAACUCGCUAGACAUGGCUAAGGGGCUAUGGAAGGCGGGCCUCCCUCUCAAAAUCAAAAUUUUCAUGUAGCAAAUGUUUGGCAACCGCUUACCAACGUCGGGUAAUGUGGCCAAGUGUAACGGGCCAGCGGAGGAACUUGUGCCGUAUGCGGUUUAGGGGAACACGCAAAUCAUGUUUUCUUCGGUUGCUUCCUAGCCAGGUUUGCGUGGAGCGCCGUGCGGGAAGCUUUCCAGCAGAACUGGAAUCCGCAAUCCAACGUAGAUUUGCUUGCUAUUCUUUCGGCCCAGAGGGGCUCUAAUGCUAGGAUUGUUUGGUGUUGCGUUGGGGCGCUUCUUUGGUCUUUAUGGACGACUAGGAACAAAAUUACUAUGGAAAAGAAGUUCCCAGCUCACCUCCCAGCUCACCCUGCUGACAUUAUCUUCAAAUGCCACAUCUUCUUACAGACUUGGGUGCCAUUGGGGAAGCCGCGUCAUGCUGACCGCAUGGACGGAAUCAUGGAGCAGAUCAAGCUUACGAUGGUGAAGGCGCGCAGGACCGAGGCGCCUCCAUGAUACUUUUGGUUGUGGUUCCUAGUUUGCUGCUGGAAUGUUUAUGAUGCAUGACCGUGAUGGUCUGUACCUUGACUAUUUCGGGACGGUGUAGUCCUUCUUAUUUUGGUGAUGUGAUGUGUAUGCAUUAAACCGUCAUUGAUGCUGCCUUGUGGCUUUAUUAAUUUAAAGCCGGACGCUUCUAGCGUCUUCAUUCCAAAAAGAAAUAGAGGAGGCUCCAAAACUUGUGUGUAAAAGAGCACCAAACCUCAAGUAUAUAUAGGUUAAAGGGGAGAGGGAGGGCUGCCACCAGUGUGCCGGCCUAGGGGGAGGAGUCUGAUUCCUCCACCCCAAUUCGGCCUCCUUCCUUAGGGAAGGGGCACGUCCCCCUUUGUGGCCCAAGUUGCCUUCCACCUUUUGGCCCUUUAAGGCCCGUUGAUAUUAAAUUAAAUAUAAGAAUAUUCUAUAUAUUAUUUAUCGGUAAUACCCGGUAUUACCCGAUAUUCACCGAACCCUUCCGGUGACCCCAAAACGCUUCCGGAUCCUCGAGGAACUAUUCUGAAUAUUAAUGAAAAAAUUCCACAAAUAUAUUAUCAUCAGUCCCAUCCUACGAACACUCAGCAGAUCGUGGUUACCUUAAGCUUGUGGCCCUAUAGGUUCGGUAACUCAUAGACAUGAACGAAACCCCUUCAUCCAAUGACCGAUAGCAAAACCAUGGACGUACAUAUCGAUCCCUAUGAGCACAUGAAUGAUAUUCGAGUGAACCUUUGGUUAUCAUGUGAUGUUCCCUUUGCUUCACGAUACUUUACAGAAGCCGGGAUGCAUCAGUAUCCUCCAGAGUCAACACAUGCUCACUAUACCAAAAUCCUCGUUACCGGUUUUGUUCAUUUUUCUCAUUGUCGUGUCCCGGCAUCCCCAUGACGUAGUCACAUGUGUCUGGCUAGACAAUGAUGGAAGUCAUCACACUGAGAGGGCCCUAAGAAUCUCUCUCCAUCGUCAGAGGAGCAAAUCCCACUCUCGAGCUAUCUAGUUGCUUGUCAAACUUUUCGAUAAACCCGUAAGUUGUCGUUAUGAUCACCGUGUUACAGGCGACGUUUGAGCAACCUCAAAGCUCAUCGUACGGUAAGAAGUGACUACGAUACUCUCAUGGUCUAAGGAGCAAAAUCACACGUUAACACUUCGUGUUAUUACAAUUGAUUAUAGAUGAUAUUACUCAAUUCAUAACAGACAAAUUUGGGUCGAUUCAAUAUGACCGUUCUUACAAUGUCAUAAUCUCAAUGUUGUUUUAGGAAUAUUGUUUAUCCUAAGAUCCGAAAAACGUGAUCACCAGUAACACUUAAGCUAGUCCUAGAGGCAAAACUAGGAAUCUUUUAUUUAACCGUUUAUCACUCCACACUUGCUUUAUGGCUUUUCCACUGAAUCGCGUACUCCAAGAUCAUAGCAGUUAUAUCAUAGAAUAUAAACUCUUUAAUUAUGAAUACGGAAAUAUAAUAAUACAAAUAUUAUUGCCUCUAGGGAAUAUUUCCAUCAGUCUCCCACUUGCACUAGAGUCAAUAAUCUAGUUUACAUAGUCUUUGUAACACCUAUGGCUAUCCAGUGUUGCUCAUGUUUUGCUCGUGGUAAAGCCUUUAUCAUCGGGCCUUACACAUUCAAAUCCAUGUGAACUUGAGAAUUUUCACAUAUCCCUUCUCAACAUAUUGUCGGAUAAUGUGAUACUUGCGUUCAGUGUGCCUGGCCUUCAUGUGUGAUCUAGGUUCCUUUGCUUGAGCAAUGGCUCCCCUAUUAUCACAAUAGAGAGCCAUUGGAUUCACCACACUCGGUACCACACCAAUUUAUUCAAGAAACUUCUUGAUCCAGAAUGCCUCCUUUGAAGCUUUGGAAGCCGCAAUAUAAUAUGCUUUUGUCGUAGAAUCUGCAACAGUGUUCUGUUUGAAAUUCUUCCAAAUAAUUGCACCACCAUUAAGUGUGAAAACAUAACCUGAUUGAGAUUUAUAGUCAUCUAUAUCAGUCAUGAAGCUAGCAUCGGUGUAACCAUUUACAACGAGUUCUUCAUCUCCUCCAUAAGCAAGGAGCAUGUCCUUUGUUCUUCUGAAGUACUUAAGAAUAUUCUUAAUUGCUGUCCAGUGAGCCACUCCUGGAUUAGUCUGGUAUCUGCUACUAACACUUAGUGCAUAAUAAACAUCUAGUUUUGUACAUAUCAUAACAUACAUGAUGGAGCCAAUAGUAGAGGCAUAUGGCACUCCACUCAUUUGCACUCGUUCAUCAACUGUCUUGGGACAUUGAUUUAUGUUAAGUGUUAUGCCAUGUGACAUUGGGAGAAAACCUUUUGUAGCAUUCUCCAUUUUAAACCACUUUAAAACCUUGUCAAUGUACAUGCUCUUACUUAGUGCUAUUAGACUUCUAGAUCUAUCUCUAUAGAUCUUUAUGCCCAAUAUAUGCAGCUUCUCCUAAGUCUUUCAUUGAAAACACACUUUUCAAAUAGUCUUCUAUUGUGCUAAGAUACUUUGUAUCAUUCCUAAUCAACAAUAUGUCAUCUACAUAUAAAAUAAGAAAUGCUACAAAACUCCCACUAAACCUGUUGUAUACACAAGCUUCUUCAUCAUUUUUAAUGAAGCCAAACUCUUUUACCACUUCAUCAAAACAUUGAUUCCAGCUCCUUGAUGUUUUCUUCAAACCAUAGAUUGACCUUUGAAGCUUAGACAUCUUUCCAGCAUUCUUUGGACUAACAAAACCUUCUGGUUCUAUCAUGUAUACAUCCUCUUUCAAAUUUCCAUUUAGGAAUGCAUUUUUGACAUUCAUCUGCCAUAUCUCAUAGCUGAAAUAUGCAGCUAUAGACAUCAUAAUCCGUACAAACUUUAGCAUUGCCACUGGAGAGAAAGUCUCAUCAUAAUCAACUCCCUCUACUUGCAAAAACCCUUUCGCAACUGGCCUUGUUUUGUAGAUGGUGGGAUUACCAUCUGCAUCUCACUGGUGCAGCGCCCUUCUAUACAAACAUGUUUUACCCCUUUCUGCGAUGGAGUUUUAAACCGUCGCCUUGUCAGUGUGUGCGAUAGGGGGGAGGGGGUCCUUCCCACAUGACCCAGAAACCGUCGGGGAUAGGCCCUCUGGUCACACACGCGGGGAAAAAAGAGCUCGUGUACGAUCGGGCGAGCCAUCGUAGACAAUUAUAAAGGCCCAACCGUUUUCGUUCGUAAGUACAUCUCACACAGUGAAUCCAAGCCAUACAUUUCCAUUCAUAUGUACAUCCCACACAGUCAAUCCAAGGAAUACAUUUCCAUUUGUAUGUACAUCCCACAUAGUCAAUCCAAUAAAUACGUUAUUGUUCGUAUGUACAUCCCACACGGUGAAUCCCAGACAGACAUUUCCAUUCACAUGUACAUCACACAAAAAUUUCCCCAUCAAAUCGUUUGUGAUAGCAUUGUCAUUGCAGAUGAUAUUAACAAUUUUAUCGUUUGCGUUAUUGAAUGCAUCAUGCACAGUGCCUAGAAGAAACUGUGUGGCAUAUGCUGUCCAUCACACACACUUUUUAUGUGGAAAACGUUUGGCGCAGGUGGCCUAACGCAAACAGUUUCUAGAGGAAGUCGUGUGUGAUUGUUCAUUGAUCCAACAUGUUUACUUCCUAGAACCUGUGUGGGUUGUCUGAGGUCAUCGCCCAUGGUGUUUUCUCAAUAACCAUUUGCAAUAGAAAAACCCAAUAAGCAGGCUAAUUGGCCUAUUAUUAUUAAUCCAUUUAGUAAUCAAAUUGACACUUCAUAUUGAGCACACAAUAUAUUUCAUUUUCAUAUUACAUAACCAGGAUUUCAUAAUUGAAAUACAUCAGAGUACAACAUAAUAUAGCUUUAGCACUCAGUUACACCAUAUAGGCAUAUAGCUAGCUACCCCAUUACACAACUGCACCAGCACCAAGUUUCACAUGCAACAUCUAUAACCUUUGGAAAUUAGCGUCAUAGACGGUAGAUAGAUAGAUCAAUCUCAUCUGGAAAACCACUGAAGCGGAAGGCGAAUAUUGAGCCUUCAAUGAUGUUGAAGGUCCUUGCAACUUUAGGCCAAUGCCUGUGGAUUAUUGACCGUCCAACCUUCAUCCCCUUGAGGAAGACUUCAACAUUGUACAAUGGGUGUUGUAUGAAUACCUUUGUCGCCUCCUGACCAUACAGGUGGUUUGAGAGGUAAUCAUCAGUGAACUGCUUUGAAAAGGCCUGAAAACAAAGAUAUGCAUAGAUAUCUUCUCUAAAUUUGGAAAUGGCGCAAAGGAAUAAAAAAACAAGGUAUAAGAGUUAGUACCAUCCUGUAGUUCACCGAUGUCUUCUUCAUUGUGCAGACAAAGAUCUUGUUGUUUUUCGUCACUGGUUUCAUUAUCCUAACAAUCUUUCUGAGUUUCUUGACUUGACUGAUAUUCAUGGACAACUCAUUCCCCCAUAUGCAAAAUGGUUCGAACAGUGGGUCAAAACCUCUGACAGCAGGACCUACAUGUGCAAGACCAAAUUGUUAAAAACCUAAAUAUUAGAAUGGUUCCUGCAAUUGCACAAUAAUGUGCUAUUAGACAGAGGACCAUGCAUGCACAAACCUCGAUUGUAAACCUCAGUGAUUCCCAUUGUUUCCCUGCAACACAUAUAAGGUAGUUAUUGAUCAGGUUAAGUGAGGUUUGGCAUACUAUCAGUAAAAUAUGUUGAUGAAAAGUAAACACAUUGCAGAUUCAGCAGAUUAAUUCAAGCCACAUGGAAAAGCCAUUUAUCCAAACCAAGCAUGAUUAAGAACUAUAAAAUAUAGCAAUUGUAUAUGUUUCUCAUGUAUUUAGUACGUCCAAAUUCGAUUUAUUCCUCACAUGCAUAACAAUACAAAAUUGUACCCACAACAAUUGAACAUCACAUUGCAGAAUUGAACCAAACAAUUAACUAAACACCACAACAAAUGAACCAAACAUUAACUGAGCACCACAUUGCACAAUAUAUAACAUACUAGAAGAUCAGACAGUUAACCAACCAAGCAUGCUUAACAACUUGGAAAUAUAGCAAUUGUAUUUGUUUCUCAUGUAUUUUGUACAGCCAAAUUCGAUUUAUUUCUCACACGCAAGACAAUACAAAAUUGCACCCACAAGAAUUGAAAAUCACAUUGUAGAAUUGAACCAAACAGUUAACUGAACACGACAACAAAUUAACCAAACAGUUAAUAAGUGAGCACCACAUUGCACAACAUAUAGAACAUAUAUACUAGAGGAUCAGAUUGCAUGGUAACAAUACAUAGGACAAUUCGCUAGAAUUUGUUAAGGAAAGGUAGGAGCAGCACAUGCAAUAGGUAAUCAGAACAUGCUUAAGCGGCGUAGCUAGUUAGCUACUCCUCAUCGUCGGAGAUAUCGAUGACGAUUGGCUCCUUGGACUUGGAAGAGGGCAAGGCCUCCACAUCGUGGGUGCCCUCCUUGUAGUGGUGAGUUUGCUGAGCCACUCCAGGCACCAACCUGCUGGCUCUCGAGUUGAGGCAAGCAUGGGCACGCUGAGAAAGAACCUCGUAGUCUUCGUCAAAGGCACCGACGGUGGCCUCGAGAAAACGCCAUGAACUAUCGUUUAAAGCAGCCAACCGCGUCGUGGCAUCGGCGCAUGAGGCGUCGACGGUGGCCUCGAUGGCGAGGUGCUCCUUCAUGUCUACUAUGCAACCUUCUCCUUGUAGACGUUGUUGGGCCUCCAAGUGCAGAGGUUUGUAGGACAGUAGCAUUUUUUUCCUCAAGUGGAUGACCUAAGGUUUAUCAAUCCGUGGGAGGCGUAGGAUGAAGAUGGUCUCUCUCAAACAACCCUGCAACCAAAUAACAAAGAGUCUCUUGUGUCCCCAACACAGCCAAUACAAUGGUAAAUUGUAUAGGUGCACUAGUUCGGCGAAGAGAUGGUGAUACAAGCGCAAUAUGGAUGGUAGAUAUAGGUUUUUGUAAUCUGAAAAUAUAAAAACAGCAAGGUAUCAAGUGAUAAAAGUGAGCGUAAACGGUAUUGCAAUGCUAGGAAACAAGGCCUAGGGUUCAUACUUUCACUAGUGCAAGUUCUCUCAACAAUAAUAACAUAACUGGAUCAUAUAACUAUCCCUCAACAUGCAACAAAGAGUCACUCCAAAGUCACUAAUAGCGGAGAACAAACGAAGAGAUUAUGGUAGGGUACGAAACCACCUCAAAGUUAUUCUUUCGGAUCGAUCUAUUCAAGAGUCCGUAGUAAAAUAACACGAAGCUAUUCUUUCCGUUCAAUCUAUCAUAGAGUUCGUACUAGAAUAACACCUUAAGACACAAAUCAACCAAAACCCUAAUGUCACCUAGAUACUCCAAUGUCAUCUCAAGUAUCCGUGGGUAUGAUUAUACGAUAUGCAUCACACAAUGUCAGAUUCAUCUAUUCAACCAACACAAAGAACUUCAAAGAGUGCCCCAAAGUUUCUACCGGAGAGUCAAGACGAAAACAUGUGCCAACCCCUAUGCAUAGGUUCAUGGGCGGAACCCGCAAGUUGAUCACCAAAACAUACAUCAAGUGGAUCACGUGAUAUCCCAUUGUCACCACAAAUAAGCACGGCAAGACAUACAUCAAGUGUUCUCAAAUCCUUAAAGACUCAAUCCGAUAAGAUAACUUCAAAGGGAAAACCCAAUCCAUUACAAGAGAGUAGAGGGGGAGAAACAGCAUAAGAUCCAACUAUAAUAGCAAAGCUCGCGGUACAUCAAGAUCGUAUCACCUCAAGAACACGAGAGAGAGAGAGAGAGAGAUCAAACACAUAGCUACUGGUACAUACCCUCAGCCCCGAGGGUGAACUACUCCCUCCUCGUCAUGGAGAGCGCCGGAAUGAUGAAGAUGGCCACCGGUGAGGGUUCCCCCCUCCGGCAGGGUGCCGGAACAGGGCCCCGAUUGGUUUUUGGUGGCUACAGAGGCUUGCGGCGGCGAAACUCCUGAUCUAUUCUGUCCCCCAAUGGUUUCAGGGUAUAUGGAUAUAUAUAGGCGAAAGAAGUCGGUAAGGGGAGCCACGAGGGGCCCAUGAGGGUGGGGGCGCGCCCAGGGGGCAGGCACGCCUCCCUGCCUCGUGGCCACCUCGAAGCUUCCCUGACUUCAACUCCAAGUCUCCUGGAUCACGUUCGUUCCAAAAAUCACGCACCCGAAGGUUUCAUUCCGUUUGGACUCCGUUUGAUAUUCCUUUUCUGCGAAACACUGAAACAAGGGAAAAUACAGAAACUGGCACUGGGCUCUGGGUUAAUAGGUUAGUCCCAAAAAUAAUAUAAAAGUGUAAAAUAAAGCCCAUAAACAUCCAAAACAGAUAAUAUAAUAGCAUGGAACAAUAAAAAAUUAUAGAUACGUUGGAGACGUAUCAGCAUCCCCAAGCUUAAUUCCUGCUCGUCCUUGAGUAGGUAAGUGAUAAAAACAGAAUUUUUGAUGUGGAAUGCUACCUAACAUAUUUAUCCAUGUAAUUCUCUUUAUUGUGGCAAGAAUAUUUAGUUCCAUAAGAUUCAAGACAAAAGUUUAAUAUUGACAUAAAAAUAAUAAUACUUCAAGCAUACGAACAAAGUAAUCAUGUCUUCUCAAAAUAACAUGGCCAAAGAAAGUUAUCCCUACAAAAUCAUAUAGUCUGGCUAUGCUCUAUCUUCACCACACAAAGUAUUUAAAUCAUGCACAACCCCGACGACAAGCCAGGCAAUUGUUUCAUACUUUUGAUGUUCUCAAACAUUUUCAGUCUUCACGCAAUAUAUGAGCGUGAGCCAUGGAUAUAGCACUAUAGGUGGAAUAGAAUGGUGGUUGUGGAGAAGACAAAAAGGAGAAGAUAGUCUCACAUCAACUAGGCGUAUCAACGGGCUAUAGAGAUGCCCAUCAAUAGAUAUCAAUGUGAGUGAGUAGGGAUUGCCAUGCAAUGGAUGCACUAGAGCUAUAAGUGUAUGAAAGCUCAAAAAGAAACUAAGUGGGUGUGCAUCCAACUUGCUUGCUCACGAAGACCUAGGGCAAUUUGAGGAAGCCCAUCAUUGGAAUAUACAAGCCAAGUUUUAUAAUGUAAAAUUACCACUAGUAUAUGAAAGUGAAUCAUAGGAGACUCUCCAUCAUGAAGAUCAUGGUGCUACUUUGAAGCACAAGUGUGGUAAAAGGAUAGUAGCAUUGUCCCUUCUCUCUUUUUCUCUCAUUUUUAAUAUUUUUUUGGGCCUUUUCUUUCUUUUUUAUGGCCUCUUUUUUUAGUCCGGAGUCUCAUCCCAACUUGUGGGGGAAUCAUAGUCUCCAUCAUCCUUUCCUCACUGGGACAAUGCUCUAAUAAUGAUUACCAUCACACUUUUAUUUACUUACAACUCAUGAAUUACAACUCGAUACUUAGAACAAAAUAUGACUCUAUAUGAAUGCCUCCGGCGGUGCCGGGAUAUGCAAUGACUCAUGAGUGACAUGUAUGAAAGAAUUAUGAAAGGUGGCUUUGCCACAAAUACGAUGUCAACUACAUGAUCAUGCAAAGCAAUAUGACAAUGAUGAAGCUUGUCAUAAUAAACGGAACGGUGGUAAGUUGCAUGGCAAUAUAUCUCGGAAUGGCUAUGGAAAUGCCAUGAUAGGUAGGUAUGGUGGCUGUUUUGAGGAAGGUAUAUGGUGGGUGUAUGAUAUCGGCGAAAGGUGCGCGGUAUUAGAGAGGCUAGCAAUGGUGGAAGGGUGAGAGUGCGUAUAAUCCAUGGACUCAACAUUAGUCAUAAAGAACUCAUAUACUUAUUGCAAAAAUCUAUUAGUUAUCGUAACAAAGUACUACGCGCAUGCUACUAGGGGGAUAGAUUGGUAGGAAAAGACCAUCGCUCGUCCCCGACCACCACUCAUAAGGAAGACAAUCAAUAAAUAAAUCAUGCUCCGACUUCAUCACAUAACGGUUCACCAUACUUGCAUGCUACGGGAAUCACAAACUUUAGAACAAGUAUCUCUCAAAUUCACAACUACUCAGCUAGCAUGACUCUAAUAUCACCAUCUUCAUAUCUCAAAACAAUCAUAAGGAAUCAAACUUCUCAUAGUAUUCAAUGCACUUUAUAUGAAAGUUUUUAUUAUAUCCCUCUUGGAUGCCCGUCAUAUUAGGACUAAAUUCAUAACCAAAGCAAAUUACCAUGCUGUUCUAAAGACUCUCAAAAUAAUAUAAGUGAAGCAUGAGAGUUCAUCUAUUUCUUCAAAUUAAAACCACCGUCGUGCUCUAAAAAGGUAUAAGUGAAGCACUAGAGCAAACGACAAACUACUCCAAAAGAUAUAAGUGAAGAUCAAUGAGUAGUUGAAUAAUUAUGUAACUAUGUGAAGACUCUCUCUCAUUUAAGAAUUUCAGAUCUUGAUAUUUUAUUCAAACAGCAAUCAACACAAAAGAAAAUAAAAUGACGCUCCAAGCAAAACACAUAUCAUUUGGUGAAUAAAAAUAUAGCUCCAAGUAAAGUUACCGAUGAACGAAGACGAAAGAGGGGAUGCCAUCCGGGGCAUCCCCAAGCUUAGGCUCUUGGUUAUCCUUGAAUAUUACCUUGGGUUUCCUUGGGCAUCCCCAAGCUUAGGCUCUUGCCACUCCUUAUUCCGUAGUCCAUCGAAUCUUCACCCAAAACUUGAAAACUUCACAACACAAAACUUAACAGAAAACUCGUAAGCUCCGUUAGUAUAAGAAAAUAAAUCACCACUUAGGUACUGUUGUGAACUCAUUCUAAAUUCAUAUUGGUGUAAUAUCUACUGUAUUCCAACUUAUAUAUGGUUCAUACCCUCCGAUACUACUCAUAGAUUCAUCAAAAUAAGCAAACAACACAUAGAAAACAGAAUCUGUCAAAAACAGAACAGUCUGUAGUAAUCUGUAUCAAACGUAUACUUAUGGAACUACAAAAAUUCUGAAAUAAAUUGUUGGACCUGAGGAAUUUGUCUAGUAAUCAUCUGCAAAAAGAAUGAACUAAAUAUCACUCCCCAGUAAAAAUUUUUAGCUAAUCUCGUGAGCACUAAAGUUUCUGUUUUUUUACAGCAAGAUCAUUAAGACUUCACCCAAGUCUUCCCAAAGGUUCUACUUGGCACAAACACUAAUUAAAACAUAAAACCACAUCUAAACAGAAGCUAUAUGGAUUAUUUAUUACUAAACAGAACUAAAAAGCAAUAAACUAAAAUAAAAUUGGGUUGCCUCCCAACAAGCGCUAACGUUUAACGCCCCUAGCUAGGCAUGAUGAUUUCAAUGAUGCUCACCUAAAAGAUAAGAAUUGAAACAUAAAGAGAGCAUCAUGAAGAAUAUGACUAGCACAUUUAAGUCUAACCCACUUCCUAUGCAUAGGGAUUUUGUGAGCAGACAACUUAUGGGAACAAUAAUCAACUAGCAUAGGAAGGCAAAACAAGCAUAACUUCAAAACUUUAAGCACAUAGAGAGGAAACUUGAUAUUAUUGCAAUUCCUACAAGCAUAUAUUCCUCCCUCAUAAUAAUUUUCAGUAGCAUCAUGAAUGAAUUCAACAAUAUAACCAGCACCUAAAGCAUUCUUUUCAUGAUCUACAAGCAUAGAAAAUUUACUACUCUCCACAUAAGCAAAAUUCUUCUCAUUCGGAAUAGUGGGAGAAUCAUAAGAAACCCGAAUACGAUAAAUUGUUUCCACAUUAAAAGAGUAAUGUUAAGAAAAAGGGUGAUCAUAAUCAUGACAAGUUUUAUAAAUAUAAUCAUCACUACUUUUUAUAGCAUAAGUAUCAUCACAAUAAUCAUCAUAAGUAGCAACUUUGUUCUCAUCAUAAUCAAUUGAAACCUCUUCCGAAAUAGUGGAUUCAUCACUAAAUAAAGUCAUGACCUAUCCAAAUUCACUUUCAUAAUUAUCACAAUAAGAUUCAACACCCUCCAAAAUAGUGGGAUCAUUACUUCCUAAAGUUGACACUCUUCCAAACCCACUUUCAUCAAUAUAAUCAUCAUAAGUAGGAGGCAUGCUAUCAUCAUAACAAAUUUGCAUAUCAAAACUUGGGAGGCUAAAAAUAUCAUCUUCAUUAAACAUAGCAUCCCCAAGCUUGGGACAAACAUUAAUUUCAGCAAAUAUAUUCUCAAAUAUGUCAUCCUCAUCAAACAUAGCUUCCCCAAGCUUGGGCCUUUUCAUAUCAUAAGCAUAAUCAUUCUCAUCAUUAAUAGUAUGGAUAGCACCAAUAGUAUAGCAAUUAUCAUCAUCACAAUGAGUAGUAGGAGCAACAUCAUUUGGGAGGGAUACCUUUUUACCUUUGCUUCUCCGUCUUUUAUUUUUCUUCUUCACACCAUGUGUGGGUUGAAUCCUCUUUUUGGAGCUCCUUAUUAAUGAGAUUGGUUGAAUAGAAGGCUCCACCUCGUUACCUGAUUCAUCAUAAGAAAUAAUAGGAGAAUAUUGGGAAGUCUCUUCCCUUUCGUUAGUAUUCUCUUCAUCUUCUAUUUCUUUUCUUUUCUUUAUGUAAUUGGCAAUAUAAGGAUUUUCGAUGCAAUUCACCGCACAAUACAUAUAAAUUUCCUCUAGAUCAAUAUCGAGGAAUUUCUCAAGGUUAUAUUCUGGAAUAUGCUUAGUUUGACGUUUCAUUUCUUCAUAACCCAAAAGCAAACUAAGUUCAUUAUGAUGUGCAAGGGAAAUCAAGUCAUCACAAUUUUUGGACACGAUUCGAUCAUGAAACAAUUUGCAUUUGAUAUUUAAAUGACCAUGUUCAUUGCAAAGUUCACAAGUAUGGCUAAGAUAUUUUAAAUUUUCAGCACUAACAUUUAGCCUCUCUUGCAGCCAUUUAGUUUCUAAGUACUUGUGCCUCUUACAAAAUCUAUCUUCCCUUUUUGGUAUGUAUUUGCAAACUCUAUGCACUCCACAAAAAUUGACAUGCUUAUAAGAGAUAUUUUCAUCAUGACUAGUGCAAUCAUCAUUAGUACCAUGGAUAUUCAAGGAGUUCAUACUAACAACAUUGCAAUCAUGCUCAUCAUUCAAAGAUUUAGUGCCAAACAUUUCAAUGCAUUCUUCUUCUAACACUUUGGCACAAUUUUCCUUUCCAUCAUACUCACGAAAGAUAUUAAAAAGAUGAAGCGUAUGAGACAAACUCAAUUCCAUUUUUUUGUAGUUUUCUUUUAUAAAAUAAGCUAGUGAUAAAACAAGAAACUAAAAGAUUCGAUUGCAAGAUCUAAAGAUAUACCUUAAAGCACUAACCUCCCCGGCAACGGCGCCAGAAAAGAGCUUGAUGUCUACUACGCAACCUUCUCCUUGUAGACGCUGUUGGGCCUCCAAGUGCAGAGGUUUGUAGGACAGUAGCAAAUUUCCCUCAAGUGGAUGACCUAAGGUUUAUCAAUCCAUGGGAGGCGUAGGAUGAAGAUGGUCUCUCUCAAACAACCCUGCAACCAAAUAACAAAGAGUCUCUUGUGUCCCCAACACACCCAAUACAAUGGUAAAUUGUAUAGGUGCACUAGUUCGGCGAAGAGAUGGUGAUACAAGUGCAAUAUGGAUGGUAGAUAUAGGUUUUUGUAAACUGGAAAUAUAAAAACAGCAAGGUAGCAAGUGAUAAAAGUGAGUGUAAACGGUAUUGCAAUGCUAGGAAACAAGGCCUAGGGUUCAUACUUUCACUAGUGCAAGUUCUCUCAACAAUAAUAACAUAACUGGAUCAUAUAACUAUCCCUCAACAUGGAACAAAGAGUCACUCCAAAGUCACUAAUAGCGGAGAACAAACAAAGAGAUUAUGGUAAGGUAUGAAACCACCUCAAAGUUAUUCUUUCGGAUCGAUCUAUUCAAGAGUCCGUAGUAAAAUAACACGAAGCUAUUCUUUCCGUUCAAUCUAUCAUAGAGUUCAUACUAGAAUAACACCUUAAGACACAAAUCAACCAAAUCCCUAAUGUCACCUAGAUACUCCAAUGUCACCUCAAGUAUCCGUGGGUAUGAUUAUACGAUAUGCAUCACACAAUCUCAGAUUCAUCUAUUCAACCAACACAAAGAACUUCAAAGAGUGCCCCAAAGUUUCUACCGGGGAGUCAAGACGAAAACGUGUGCCAACCCCUAUGCAUAGGUUCAUGGGCGGAACCCGCAAGUUGAUCACCAAAACAUACAUCAAGUGGAUCACGUGAUAUCCCAUUGUCACCACAGAUAAGCACGGCAAGACAUACAUCAAGUGUUCUCAAAUCCUUGAAGACUCAAUCCGAUAAGAUAACUUCAAAGGGAAAACUCAAUCCAUUACAAGAGAGUAGAGGGGGGGAAACAUCAUAAGAUCCAACUAUAAUAGCAAAGCUCGCGGUACAUCAAGAUCGUAUCACCUCAAGAACACGAGAGAGAGAGAGAGAUCAAACACAUAGCUACUGGUACAUACCCUCAGCCCCGAGGGUGAACUACUACCCCCUCGUCAUGGACAGCGCCGGAAUGAUGAAGAUGGCCACCGGUGAGGGUUCCCCCCUCUGGCAGGGUGCCGGGACAGGGUCCCGAUUGGUUUUUGGUGGCUACAGAGGCUUGCGGCGGCGGAACUCCCACAAGUAUAGGGGAUCGCAACAGUUUUCGAGGGUAGACUAUUCAACCCAAAUUUAUUGAUUCGACACAAGGGGAGCCAAAGAAUAUUCUCAAGUAUUAGCAGUUGAGUUGUCAAUUCAACCACACCUGGAUAACUUAAUAUCUACAGCAACGUAUUUAGUAGCAAAGUAAUAUGGAAGUAACGGUAACGAUAGCAAAAGUAAUAUUUUUGGGUUUUGUAGUGAUUGUAACAGUAGCAACGGAAAAGUAAAUAAGCGAAGAACAAUAUGUGAAAAGCUCGUAGGCAUUGGAUCGGUGAUGCAGAAUUAUGUCGGAUGUGGUUCAUCAUGUAACAGUCAUAACAUAGGGUGACACAGAACUAGCUCCAAUUCAUCAAUGUAAUGUAGGCAUGUAUUCCGAAUAUAGUCAUACGUGCUUAUGGAAAAGAACUUGCAUGACAUCUUUUUUCCUACCCUCCCGUGGCAGCGGGGUCCUAAUGGAAACUAAGGGAUAUUAAGGCCUCCUUUUAAUAGAGUGGUCCCGAUUAUUGUGAAUACAUGAACUCCUCAAACUAUGGUCAUCACCGGGAGUGGUCCCGAUUAUUGUCACUUCGGGGUUGCCGGAUCAUAACACAUAGUAGGUGACUAUAGACUUGCAAGAUAGGAUCAAGAACUCACAUAUAUUCAUGAAAACAUAAUAGGUUCAGAUCUGAAAUCAUGGUACUCGGGCCCUAGUGACAAGCAUUAAGCAUAGCAAAGUCAUAGCAACAUCAAUCUCAGAACAUAGUGGAUACUAGGGAUCAAACCCUAACAAAACUAACUCGAUUACAUGAUAGAUCUCAUCCAACCCAUCACCGUCCAGCAAGCCUACGAUGGAAUUACUCACGCACGGCGGUGAGCAUCAUGAAAUUGGUGAUGGAGGAUGGUUGAUGAUGACGAUGGCGACGAAUCCCCCUCUCCGGAGCCCCGAACGGACUCCAUAUCAGCCCUCCCGAGAGGUUUUAGGGCUUGGCGGUGGCUCCGUAUCGUAAAACGCGAUGAAUCCUUCUCCCUGAUUUUUUUCUCCCCGAAAGUGAAUAUAUGGAGUUGGAGUUGAGGUCGUUAGAGCGUCAGGGGGCCCACGAGGCAGGGGGCGCGCCCUAGGGGGGCAGGCGCGCCCUCCACCCUCGUGGACAGGGUGUGGGCCCCCUGACGUGGAUUUUUCUUCCAGUAUUUUUCUUAUUUUCCAAAUAGAUGUUCCGUGGAGUUUCAGGUCAUUCCGAGAACUUUUGUUUCUGCACAUAAAUAACACCAUGGAAAGUUUGCUGAAAACAGCGUCACUCCGGGUUAGUUCCAUUCAAAUCAUGCAAGUUAAAGUCCAAAACAAGCUUAAACCUUUGCUUGUCCUCAAGCAAUUCAGUUGAUACGACGGAGACGUAUCAACUCCCGCAAGCUUAAACCUUUGCUUGUCCUCAAGCAAUUCAGUUGAUAAACUGAAAGUGAUAAAGAAAAACUUUUACAAACUCUGUUUGCUCUUGUUGUUGUAAAUAUGUAAAAACCAGCAUUCAAGUUUUCAGCAAAGAUUAUGACUAACCACAUUUGCAAUAACUCUUAGGUCAUGUUUACUCAUAUCAAUGGCAUAAUCAACUAGCGAGCGAUAAUAAUAAAUCUUGGAUGACAACACUUUCUCAAAACAAUCAUAAUAUGAUAUAACAGGAUGGUAUCUCGCUAGCCCUUUCUGAGACCGCAAAACAUAAAUGCAGAGCACCUUUAAAGAUCAAGGACUGACUAGACAUUGUAAUUCAUGGUAAAAGAGAUCCAGUCAUAGUCAUACCCAAUAUAAAUUAAUAGUAAUGGAUGCAAAUGACAGCAGCGCUCUCCAGCUAGUGCUUUUUAAUAAGAGGGUGAUGACUCAACAUGAAAGUAAAUAGAUAGGCCCUUCACAGAGGGAAGCAGGGAUUUGUAGAGGUGCCAGAGCUCGAUUUUAAAGCAGAGAUAAAUAAUAUUUUGAGCGGCAUACUUUCAUUGUCAACAUAACAACCAAGAGAUGGCGAUAUCUUCCAUGCUACACACAUUAUAGGCGGUUCCCAAACAGAAUGGUAAAGUUUAUACUCCCCCUCCACCAACAAGCAUCAAUCCAUGGCUUGCUUGAAACAACGAGUACCUACAACUAGCAACAGUCCCGGGGGGAGUUCUGUUUGCAAUUAUUUUGAUUUAGUUUGCAUAAAGCAUGGGACUGGGCAUCCCGGUGACCAGCCAUUUUCUCGUGAGUGAGGAGCGGAGUCCACUCCUCUUGAGAAUAACCCGCCUAGCAUGGAAGAUACGGACAGCCCUAGUUGAUACAUGAGCUAUUCAAGCAUGCAAAACAUAAUUUCAUUUGAAGGUUUAGAGUUUGGCACAUACAAAUUUACUUGGAACGGCAGGUAGAUAUCGCAUAUAGGAAGGUAUAGUGGACUCAUAUGGAAUAACUUUGGGGUUUAAGGGAUUGGAUGCACAAGCAGUAUUCCCGCUUAGUACAAGUGAAGGCUAGCAAAAGACUGGGAAGCGACCAACUAGAGAGCGACAACAGUCAUGAACAUGCAUUAAAAUUAAUAGACAUUGAGUAUGAGCAUGAGUAGGAUAUAAUCCACCAUGAACAUAAAUAUCGUAAAGGCUAUGUUGAUUUGUUUCAACUACAUGUGUGAACAUGUGCCAAGUCGAGUCACUUAAAUCAUUCAAAGGAGGAUACCACCCCACUAUACCACAUCACAACCAUUUUAAUAACAUGUUGGCACGCAAGGUAAACCAUUAUAACUCAUAGCUAAUCAAGCAUGGCACAAGCAACUAUAAUCUCUAAUUGUCAUUGCAAACAUGUUUAUUCAUAAUAGGCUGAAUCAGGAAUGAUGAACUAAUCAUAUUUACAAAAACAAGAGAGGUCGAGUUCAUACCAGCUUCUCUCAUCUCAGUCAGUCCAUCAUAUAUCGUCAUAAUUGCCUUUCACUUGCACGACUGAACGAUGUGAAUAAUAAUAAGAGUGCACGUUCAUUGGGCUAAGCUGUAAUCUGCGAGCAUUCAAUAAACAGGAGAAGACAAGGCAAUAUGGGCUCUUGGUUAAAUCAACAAUAAUGCAUAUAAGAGCCACUUCAACAAUUUUAAUUAUGGUCUUCUCCUAUCGACCCCCAAAGAAAAGAAAUAAAACUAUUUACACGGGAAAGCUCCCAACAAGCAAAAGAAGAACGAGAAAUCUUUUUGAGUUUUCUUUUUAAUUAUUAUUACUACAGCAAGAAAAGUAAACUAACUAAAAGCUACACUAUUUUUUUCUUAAGGUUUAUCAAACACACAAGAAGAAAGCAAGAAAAAGAAAAUAAACUAGCAUGGAUAUUACAGUGAAAGAGUAUGAGCACCGACAUCUAGCAAUGAGUGUGUGAACAUAAAUGUAAUGUCGGUGGGAAAUACGUACUCCCCCAAGUUUAGGCUUUUGGCCUAAGUUGGUUUAUUGCCACAGAUAAUUCAGAAAACUGACAGAAAAUACUAUUUUUUCUUUAUUUCAACUAAAUAACAGAAAGUAGAGAGAGGUACAGAAGGUUGUGCCUUCUAGUUUCAUCCAUCUCAUGCUCAUCAAAAGGAAUCCACUAACAAGGUUGAUCAAGUCUUGUUAACAAACUCAUUCCGACUAACAUGGAACUGGAGAAAUUUCGAAUAACACUAUGUUACCUCAACGGGGAUAUGCACAUCCCCAAUAAUAAGAAUAUCAUAUUUCUUCUUGACAGUAGGUAGAGGAAAUUCAAAACCUCCAAAAAUAAUUGAUGGAAUUUUUCCAAUAGAAUUGAUACUGUGGACUUGAGGUUGUUUCCUCGGAAAGUGUACCGUAUGCUCAUUACCAUUAACAUGAAAAGUGACAUUGCCUUUGUUGCAAUCAAUAACAGCCCCUGCAGUAUUCAAAAAAGGUCUUCCAAGAAUAAUAGACAUAUAUCGUCCUCGGGAAUAUCAAGAAUAACAAAGUCCGUUAAAAUAGUAACAUUUGCAACAAGAACAGGCACAUCCUCACAAAUACCAACAGGUAUAGCAGUUGAUUUAUCAGCCAUUUGCAAAGAUAUUUCAGUAGGUGUCAACUUAUUCAAAUCAAGUCUACGAUAUAAAGAGAGAGGCAUAACACUAACACCGGCUCCAAGAUCACAUAAAGCAGUUUUGACAUAGUUUCUUUUAAUGGAGCAUGGUAUAGUAGGUACUCCUGGAUCUCCAAGUUUCUUUGGUAUUCCACCCUUAAAAGUGUAAUUAGCAAGCAUGGUGGAAAUUUCAGCUUCCGGUAUCUUUCUUUUAUUAGUGACAAUUUCUUUCAUAUACUUAGCAUAAGGAUUCAUUUCGAGCAUAUCAGUUAAUCGCAUACGCAAAAAGAUAGGUCUAAUCAUUUCAGCAAAGCGCUCAAAAUCCUCAUCAUCCUUUUUCUUGGAUGGUUUCGGAGGAAAAGGCAUGGGUUUCUGAACCCAUGGUUCCCUUUCUUUACCAUGUUUCCUAGCAACAAAGUCUCUUAUCAUAACGUUGAUUCUUUGAUUGUGGGUUAUGAAGAUCAACAGCAGGUUCAAUUUCUACAUCAUUAUCAUUACUAGGUUGAGCAUCAUCAUGAACAUCAUCAUUAACAUUUUCAUUAGGUUCAUGUUCAUUACCAGAUUGUGUUUCAGCAUCAAAAAUAGAUAUAUCAUUUGGAUUCUCAGGUGGUUCAGCAAUAGGUUCACUAGAAGCAUGCAAAGUCCUAUCGUUUUUCUUUUUCUUCUUUUUAGAAGGACUAGGUGUAUCAAUAUUAUUUCUCUGAGAAUCUUGUUCAAUUCUCUUAGGGUGGCCUUCAGGAUACAAAGGUUCCCGAGUCAUCUUACCAGUUCUAGUAGCCACUCUAACAGCAUAAUCAGUAUUCUUACUAUUCAAUUCAUUGAGCAAAUCAUUUUGAGCCUUAAGUACUUGUUCUACUUGAGUGGUAACCAUAGAAGCAUGUUUAGUAAUGAGUUUAAGUUCACCUUUAACUCUAGACAUAUAAUCACCCAAGUGUUCAAGCGUAUCGGAAUUGUAUUUAAAUUGUCUACCAAAAUAAGCAUUGAAAUCUUCUUGCUUAACCAUAAAGUUAUCAAACUCAUCCAAGCAUUGGCUAGCAAUUUUAGUAGGAGGGAUUUCAGCUUUAUCAUAUCUAUAGAGAGAAUUUACCUUUACUACCUGUGUCGGGUUAUCAAGACCAUGAGUUUCUUCAAUAGGUGGAGGAUUAAGAUCAUAUGUUUCUUCAACAGGCGGUAAAUUAAGACCAUGUAUUUCUUUAGUAGGAGGUAAAUUCUUAACAUCUUCAGCUUUAAUACCUUUUUCUUUCAUAGAUUUCUUUGCCUCUUGCAUAUCUUCAGGGCUGAGAAAUAGAACGCCUCUCUUCUUCGGAGUUGGUUUGGGAAUAGGUUCAGGAAGUGUCCAAUUAUUUUCAUUUGUCAACAUAUUAUUCAAUAGAAUUUCAGCUUCAUCCGGUGUUCUUUCCCUAAAAACAGAACCAGCACAACUAUCCAGGUAAUCUCUGGAAGCAUCGGUUAGUCCAUUAUAAAAGAUAUCAAGUAUUUCAUUUUUCUUGAGAGGAUGACCAGGCAAAGCAUUAAGUAAUCGGAGAAGCCUCCCCCAAGCUUGUGGGAGACUCUCUUCUUCAAUUUGCACAAAAUUAUAUAUUUGCCUUAAAGCAGCUUGUUUCUUAUGAGCAGGGAACUAUUUAGCAGAGAAGUAAUAAUCAUAUCCUGGGGACUACGCACACAACCAGGAUCAAGAGAAUCAAACCAUAUCUUAGCAUCACCCUUUAAUGAGAAUGGAAAUAUUUUAAGGAUAUAAAGGUAGCAAGAUUUCUCAUCAUUAGUGAACAGGGUGGCUAUAUCAUUUGAUUUAGUAAGAUGUGCCACAACUGUUUCAGAUUCAUAGCCAUGAAAAGGAUCAGAUUCAACCAAAGUAAUUAUAUCAGGAUCAACAGAGAAUUCAUAAUCCUUAUCAGUAACACAUAUAGGUGAAGUAGCAAAAGCAGGAUCAGGUUUCAUUCUAGCAUUAAGAGAUUGCUGCUUCCAUUUAGCCAAUAAUUUCUUAACAUCAUGUCUAUCUUUGCAAGCAAAAAUUUCGUUAGCAACUGCUUCAUCCAUAACAUAGCCCUCAGGCACAAUAGGCAAUUCAUAUUUAUUAGGGGAAGAGUCUUCAUCAUCACUUUCAUCAAUAUUAUCAAUAAUUUCAUUCUCUCUAGCCCUAGCAAGUUGUUCAUCAAGAAAUUCACCAAGUGGCACAGUAGUAUCAAGCAUAGAAGUAGUUUCAUCAUAAGUAUCAUGCAUAGCAGAAGUGGCAUCAUCAAUAACAUGCGACAUAUCAGAACGAAUAGCAGAAGCAGGUUUAGGUGUCGCAAGCUUACUCAAAACAGAAGGUGAAUCAAGUGUAGAGCUAGAUGGCAGUUCCUUACCUCCCCUCGUAGUUGAGGGAUAAAUUGUUGUCUUAGCGUCUUUCAAGUUCUUCAUAGUGACCAGCAGGUAUAAAUCCCAAGUGACUCAAAGAAUAGAGCUAUGCUCCCCGGCAACGGCGCCAGAAAAUAGUCUUGAUAACCCACAAGUAUAGGGGAUCGCAACAGUUUUCGAGGGUAGAGUAUUCAACCCAAAUUUAUUGAUUUGACACAAGGGGAGCCAAAGAAUAUUCUCAAGUAUUAGCAGUUGAGUUGUCAAUUCAACCACACCUGGAUAACUUAAAAUCUACAACAAAGUAAUAUGGAAGUAACGGUAACGAUAGCAAAAGUAAUAUUUUUGGGUUUUGUAGUGAUUGUAACAGUAGCAACGGAAAAGUAAAUAAGCGAAGAACAAUAUGUGAAAAGCUCGUAGGCAUUGGAUCGGUGAUGGAGAAUUAUGUCGGAUGCGGUUCAUCAUGUAACAGUCAUAACAUAGGUUGACACAGAACUAGCUCCAAUUCAUCAAUGUAAUGUAGGCAUGUAUUCCGAAUAUAGUCAUAGAUGCUUAUGGAAAAGAACUUGCAUGACAUCUUUUGUCCUACCCUCCCGUGGUAGCGGGGUCCUAAUGGAAACUAAGGGAUAUUAAGGCCUCCUUUUAAUAGAGUACCGGAACAAAGCAUUAGCACAUAGUGAAUACAUGAACUCCUCAAACUAUGGUCAUCACCGGGAGUGGUCCCGAUUAUUGUCACUUCGGGGUUGCCGGAUCAUAACACAUAGUAGGUGACUAUAGACUUGCAAGAUAGGAUCAAGAACUCACAUAUAUUCAUGAAAACAUAAUAGGUUCAGAUCUGAAAUCAUGGCACUCGGGCCCUAGUGACAAGCAUUAAGCGUAGCAAAGUCAUAGCAACAUCAAUCUCAGAACAUAGUGGAUACUAGGGAUCAAACCCUAACAAAACUAACUCGAUUACAUGAUAGAUCUCAUCCAACCCAUCACCGUCCAACAAGCCUACGAUGGAAUUACUCACGCACGGCGAUGAGCAUCAUGAAAUUGGUGAUGGAGGAUGGUUGAUGAUGACGAUGGCGAGGAAUCCCCCUCUCCGGAGCCCCGAACGGACUCCAUAUCAGCCCACCCGAGAGGUUUUAGGGCUUGGCGGCGGCUCCGUACCGUAAAACACGAUGAAUCCUUCUCCCUGAUUUUUUUCUCCCCGAAAGUGAAUAUAUGGAGUUGGAGUUGAGGUCGGUGGAGCGUCAGGGGGCCCACGAGGCAGGGGGGGCGCGCCCUAGGGGGGCAGGCGCGCCCUCCACCCUCGUGGACAGGGUGUGGGCACCCUAACGUGGAUUUUUCUUCUCGUAUGUUUCUUAUUUUCCAAAUAGAUGUUCCGUGGAAUUUCAGGUCAUUCCGAGAACUUUUAUUUCUGCACAUAAAUAACACCAUGGAAAGUCUGCUGAAAACAACGUCAGUCCGGGUUAGUUCCAUUCAAAUCAUGCAAGUUAAAGUCCAAAACAAGGGCAAAAGUGUUUGGAAAAGUAGAUACGACGGAGACGUAUCAACAUGCAACUAUAGGAUUGUCAUCAAAUAAUUUGGAAUUAUCCAGGGUUCGUUUGGACAUUGUUAUACAUUAACUGAGUUUUCUAGGCAUUUAAGGUGCAUGAUUCAAAAUUAAACUACAUACACAUGCUCCAAUGCACCAAAAUGGGUUGUAAAAUCAUAUAUGUGUCCAUGGGUGGAUGCUUAGGUCCUAUGCUAGAAAUGGGAAUGAAUUUCAAACGCACCGACACCGUGGCUUGCCGGCAAACAUUGAGAUGCUUGGUUUUGAAAUUCUAGUAAAUCCAAAACUGGCCUAAAAUUCAUGAAACUUGGCAUGCUAUCAUGGAAUGGCACCAACAUGUUGUGGUAAAAUUUUUGUCCCAUUUGGGGGCAGGUUUUGGUAUAAGCUUCUCAAAAACUAGAGCAGCUCACAAGAAGCCUCAUGGUUCCGGUAGGGAACUUGCUACCUUUGUGGAUGAAACAAUAUUCGUUGCCUCUUCUUGCUUUCAAUUUUUUUCUAGUGGCGACAUAGACCAACAUGAGUGUCGUGUUAAAAUCUGGAAUUUUUGGGGGUUCGUUUGGACAUUUUUAUACAUUAACUGAGUUUUCUAGGCAUUUUAUGUGCAUAAUUCAAAUUUGAACUAGAGGCACAUGCUCCAGUGCAGAAAAUGGGUUAAAAAAAAUCAAAUGUGUGUCCAUGGGUGCAUGCUUAGGUCCCAUGCAAGAAACGGGAAUGAAUUUCAAACACCUCGGCACCAUCGCUCAGCCGCAAACAUUGAGAUACUUGGUUUUUAAAUUCUAGUAAAUCCAUAACUCGUCUGAAAUUCAUGAAACUUGGCAUGCUAUCAUAGAAUGGCACCAACAUGACGUGGUAAAAAAAUUGUCCCAUUUGGGGCAGGUUUUGGUAUAAGCUUCUCAUGAAUCAGAGCUUCUCACAAGAAGCCUCAUGGUUCCGGUAGGGAAAGUGACACCUUUGUCGAUGAAACGAUAUUCGUGGCCUCUUCUUGCUUUCAAUUUUUUCCAGUGGCAACAUAGACCAACAGGAGUGUCAUGUUAAAAUUUGAAAUUUUAUGGGGUUCGUUUGGACAUUUUUAUACACUAACCGAGUUUUCUAGGCAUUUUAUAUGCAUAAUUCAAAUUUGAACUACAGGCACAUGCUCCAGUGUAGAAAAAUGGGUUGAAAAAUUAAAUGUGUAUCCUUGGGUGCAUGCUUAGGUCCCGUGCAAGAAAUGGGAAAGAAUUUCAAACACCUCGGCGCCGUCGCUCAGCCGCAAACACUGAGAUACUUGGUUUUUAAAUUAUAGUAAAUCCAAAACUCGUCUAAAAUUCAUGAAACUUGGCAUGCUAUCAUGGAAUGGCACCAACAUGUUGUGGUAAAUUUUUUAUCCCAUUUGGGGCAGGUUUUGGUAUGCGCUCCUCACAAGCCAGAGCUUCUCAAAAGAAGCCUCGUGGUUCCAGUAGGGAACGUGUGUCACCUUUCUGGACGAAACGAUAUUCGUUGCCUCUUCUAGCCUUGAGUUUUUUUUCUAGAUACAACAUAGACCAGCAGGAGUGUCGUGUUAAAAUUUGGAAUUAUACGGGGUUCGUUUGGACAUUUUUUAUACAUUAACUAAGUGUCUACACAUUUUGUGUGCAUAAUUAAAUUUGAACUACAUGCACAUGCUCCAGUGCAGCAAAAUGGGUUAAAAAAUCAUAUGCGUGUCCUUGGGUGCAUGCUUAGGUCCCAUGCAAGAAAUGAGAAUGAACUUCAAACACCUCACAUCGUGGCUCAGCUGCAAACAUUGAGAUACUUGGUUUUAAAAUUCUAGUAAAUCCAAAAUUUGUCUGAAAUUCCUGAAACUUGGCAUGCUAUCAUGGAAUGGCACCAAUAAGUUGUGGUAUUUUGCGUGUCCAAUUUGAGAGAAGGCGCAGAAAUAAACAGCCAACAAUGGCAUUUUGAAACAAAUAGUUGCCACGUUAUCAUCUCAAAUGUUUGUAUAAUUUAAAUCGUGGGCGUUCUGCUAAUCAUUCACGUGAUGCCAUGCGUCACACUUUUACUGCCUAGGAGGUGUCGUGUGGACAGCUGCUUGAGUAGACGUGCGCAGGCUGACCGGGAGGUGUGCAAGCAGUCCUCCGUUGUGCAAGCUCACCGAGAAGCGUGCGAGCCGAACGCUGCACAUGCCUACUAGGAAGCGAGCCCUUUGACUUCCAUGGCCGCCCACCUCACUCCCAACCUCUCCAUUAAUGGUGCCCGAGCCGCUGUUUAAUAUGGGCGGCCUUACUCUUCGCCUCCCAUUCCCCUCUCGAAGACCUCCACCAAUGUCAUGGCGCAGAAGGAUCAUCUGCCACUAGUUUUCCGGUUUGGUGAAGUCGACUCCGAGCUUGAGGAGAUAGAAACUAAGGAGGAAUGGGGUCUCAUGGACAUGGCCCUGAACGAGUUGGCCGCGGCGGAUGCUGCCCCCAAGCCCUUCCCAGCUCCCAUCCCCGUGCUUGCGCCAACGACCAUCCCCGUAGCAUUGACGGGCUGGUCGCUGAGCACUAUCGCAGAGCUGGAAGCCGCAGGCGUCAGCGAGGUCCCUACGCCAGUGCCAGUGCGCGCCCCUGCACCCACCGCGGCUCCGGUCCCCGUGCGUUUGCCUGCACCUGCCACGCCCGUGCCCGUGCGCGCGCCCCCUCGGUGCAUGGACACCGCCUUUGACCGCUACCUCGCAGCGCCAUGAGACACCGUCCUCCCGUGCCUUGUCCGUCGAUCAUGCGAGAACAAGGUCUUUGAUUUCCAAGUCAAGAACAUUCUGGGCUAGCUUGAAGACUUGAACAAUGGCAUCCCGAAGGACGAUAACGCUGGUGCAGCAUGCCGCCUACGCCGCUACUGCAAUUAGUUUUUUUGGGUUUAAUAUUGUAUCUCGAUCGUAUGCAUGUGAAGUCAUAGUGUGACUGAACAAAACCUAUGGUUUUAGCAAACUUGCAUUUUUAUCUUUGAAUGUACAGACUUAUCAAAUGAUUUUUUAAAACAUCAAUAUUUUUGAAAUUUAAAACACUCAUCGCAAACGUUUUAGAUAGAACACCCAUAUGCAAACCGAGAGCUUCCCCAGUAAGCCAAGGAAAAAUGUGUUGCGCAUGAUUUGUGCAUCUCUUCAUCACAAUGUUUUAGAUAGAACACCCAUAUGCAAAGCGAGAUCUAUGGUCCUUCCCUAGUAAGCCAAGGGAAAAUUUGCCGUGCAGGAUUUGUGCAUCUCUUCAUCGCAAAUAGUUUAGAUUGAACAUUGUAUGCAAAGCGAGAGCUACAGUUCUUUCGCCACUAAGCCAAGAGAAAACCUAAUGCGCGGGAUUUUUACAUCCCUUCAUUACAAACGAUUAUUUAUGAUGACUCGUGUGGAACCACGUACAUACAAUUUGGUAAGAUUUGCAUCUAUCAUAUUGUGUAUAUUGUCAUUUGUCAAACUGGAAACAUUGGCAUUUGUCGAUCUAGUAACAUUGCCAUUUGUCAACCUUGUAACACUGCCAUUUUCAAAAUUUGCAGCCAAAAAUCACUAGCACUGUCUAAUUUUGCAACUUAAAUUUAGUAAGCAUAGAUUUCAUUCAUAGAUUAAUUAAGCAGUCGCUUUUUAUACAAACAGUUCAACUUGACAGCUGAAUCGAACAAACUUUUCCCCAAUUAUUGCCAACCACGUACUGAAAUAGCUAGUUCAACUAUAUAUACUAGCUAAUUUUAAGUAUGUACAAUUCAACCAUAUCUAUAGUCAGAUGAACUGAACAAAAGAGCUCCUAAAUACUACUACUACGGAGGGGCUUUGUACUACUUCCAGCAGCCUCUCCUCUGCCGAGCGCGCUCACUAAGAGGCAGAGGAGGAGGAGCCUACCGACGAGCUGGAGAACUGGAAUGAGGUGCCUGCCGCUGCUGCACCUUUAGCGACGCUCACCUCGAAAGCCCUCUGCCGCUCCAGAUGACCCCUCUCGAAGCCGUGGGACUCCUCGUAGAUCUCCUCAUUCCGCGCCUCUGCGACAGCAUGUGCUGCGGCCAAGGCAUCGGUAAGACUCUUUGCGUGAUCGACCAGGCGCUCCUCCUCCUCCCGCAGGAACUCGAUGUAACAUGCAAGGUCACUGACGCACAUGCGGGGCUCCACGUCCCGCCUUCGGGCGGUGGUGGUGGAGCGGGUGAUGACCCCGGCGGUCGAUGGUGGGGUGGCGACCACAAUGGUUGAUGGUGGGGUGGCAGCCACGACGACCACCUCGCACCUUCGGGCCGCGAUGGUGGAGCGGGUGAUGGCCACGAUGGCCAACAGUGGGGUGUCGGCCACGAUGGCGACCUCCCGCCUUCGGGCCGUGGUGGCGGAGUGAGCGAUAGCCCUGGCUUUUGAUGGUGGUGUGGCGGCCACGACGGCAGACAGUGGGGUGGCGGCAACGGCGACCGGCAACAGCUGCCGACAGGCAGCGGCGAUGGUGCGUGGGUGUUGUGUGCACACCCAACAGGGAUGCCAUACAUAGUACAUAACACCGGGGGCUGCGCCGCCACCGUGGUGUAGCCUUCCAGCUGGAGCUGUCCUCUGAUAACGGCGGAGUGGCUGAGCGACGACGACGAACUGGUGCCAUUGGUGAUUGUGGGAGAAGUAGACGAGAUAAGCUAUGGGGAGGGAGGGGAAAAUGCGGCGAAAGACUCGCCGACCAUGAGGGUUUAUAUAGCAGGCCAGUGAGCAUUGGGGUUUUGGGGAUUUCACUGAGUCGGGCGGGAAGCUUGCACGGCUGUGCGUGAGAACCUGCGCGGUUGCGCGGGAACAGGCUCAUCGACGAUUCAUUGGCGCCACUUUGAGCCACUGUUUGGCCAAAAGAACGCAUGUGCGGUGCUCAAGCUUGCGCUCGAAGCCUUCCGCAACAGUGGGGUGACAAGACGUGCAAGAGGAGGAUGAAAUGACACGUACACAUACGAUUAACAAAAAAAGAAUGUUUGCGAUUUAAUUACCUACUACCUUCGUCUUGGUUUAUAAGUCCUCUUUGUAUUUUGUGCCAAAUAUUUGAUCAGAGAUUUAACUAAUAAAAUAUGAAUGCAUGUCACAAAAAAUUAUAUCGUUGAUUCGUAUUUGAACAUAGUUUCCAAUUACAUUAUUUUUUAUAACAUGCAUUAACAUUUUGUUAGUUAAAUUUAAGGUCAAAAUUGGGCACAAAAUAUAACUAAUAAACCAGGAAGGAGGUAGUAGCACAUGGCCACUCUCCACGCAGCGUCGUGAAUGAUUGUUCAAUAACCGUGUGAUGUGGAAUGCGACGCAGUUUCACAUCAUGCCGCCGGCUCGCAACUGCCAGCUGGCUUGUAGACGACCAUUCCUUGCGUGUCCAACUACUUUAUGCGUGUGUUUGCUCGCGAUUGAGGCGGCCGCAACGCGCUCUGCUCACGUCCCGCCGCGCAUGCUCUGCUCUUGCGUCUCUCCACGCGCUCUACCAGCGUCCCUCCAUGCGUGCUGCCAGAGUUCGGGGCCAGCGCACGAUCCUGUAUGUUCAUGCUGCCAUCAUGCAUGCAGUUGCGCUGGGUGCAGCGCCACGCUGCAGUUACCCGCUGCAAAAACUGUCAUGCGGACGUGCCGAGAAUCCAGGCCUCCCGACCCCCAUUUAUUCCCGCGGCCAUUUACCUUAAUAUCUCGCACCCCACAACACAAUAAGCACACCCAUGACGACACAUACAGAGGAUAUCCAGCGGUUCCAAUGGCACUCCCCGUGGCUCCAAAGGCACUCCCAGCGGCUGAUGACGACAACGAGCGGUAGUUCACCAUGCCUCACAUAGUGGACACCCACGUGAGAGGGAAGGACCUCUCGGUGGUGUACACGAACGAGUCGGUCUCGAUGGAGAGGUCCAUCCACACUAUGGAGCAGUUGCUUUCUGAGGACAAUUAGUACCAAGUGGUCAGCUUCGACCGCGAGUUCACCAGCGGUCAUGCCGGGUAUGAUCAGCAGGUUGUCAUCGCCCAGUUGUGCAUGUGCCAUGAUAUCCUCGUCUACCACUACCACCUGGCCACAAGGCCUUCAAGCAUUUCUCCAGGUUUAUGAAUAGCCUCGACUACAGUUUCACUACAGUGGACACCAACAACAAUCUAAAAGCGCUCAAGGUUUCGGGUUUAGCCUGCCAGAAUCUUGUCGACAUCCAUGACCACUACACAGUCUGGGGCAGCACAAAGAACAAUCAUGACUCCUUAUUUGACCUCACCUCGGCCAUCAUUGACCCCUACUACAUGAAUAUGAAGGAUGAGAGCAAGAAGGACAAGAUCGCCUAGCACAGUGUCUGGGAGCAGAGACUGGAUGAAGAACACGUCAAGUACGCGACCAAGGACAUGUACACAUGCUACGAGAUGCACAGGCGGAUUGUUGACAUGAGGAAGUGCCUUCGUCCUGCCCCAGACGAGGGAUCGCCGAGCCACAGAGCUGUGCUGGCAGCGUCACAAGAAGUAGAUGAUUAGAUGAUCAUUUCUCCUAGUUUAGAAUGCAUGUAAUUGUUUACUGAGGUGUGUGCGAAUGUUUUGUAUAGUCACUUAUGUAAUUGGAUCUUUAUUUUGGUUAUAUAUGUUGUUCUUCUGUAGACAGAGCAAAUCACAUCGCACAUGGAGUAAAAUAGGGAACCCGUCGGUGAUGAUUUCAUCAGUCGCUGACAAUUGUGUAUACCCACAAGGAUUUGCCCACAACACACACGGCUUAUAGCAGCAAUUGUCUUUGUUAUUAUCGGUUUUGGCACACAUUUCUGAUUACAGACCUGUUUGCUGCGUAUCACACACAUCUUGUUAAGUAGAACCGUUUCUGUUGUCUUGGCUCAUCGCAAACAAUUCAUCUGAGUGAACUGUAUGCCAUAUAUCGCACACACACCUUGAUCCGACUGACUGUUUCUGUUGUGUUUCCUAAUCACAAACAGUUCAUCUAAGUGAACUGUAUGCUGUAUAUCGUACACACCCUUAUCUAGUUGACUGUUUCUGUUGUUAUGCUCAUUGCAAACAAUUCAUAUGGACCAACCGUAAGCCACGUAUCGCACACGCAACUCUAAUCUGAAUCGUGUUUGAUGUCUCCGCCAUCGCAAAUAAUUCGUAUCAUUUUUGACGGUCUUCUUACACCGUCGUUUGCGAUUAAUGCAUUGUAGAUAGUUCAAUCGAAGGGUCUGUGAUUAUACUGUUGUGUUAGGACCAUCCUGCAGUAGUGUCUGUUUUCCUUUUGAAUAUCCAUUUACAUUGUAUGGGCUUUACACGCUAUGGAGGAUCAACCAAGUUCCAAACUUGAUUCUUGUACAUGGACUCCAUUUCGGGUAGCAUGGCUUUGAGCCAUUAUUUUGAGCCGAGCGCCGCCAUCGCUUCCUUGUAGUGCGCAUGCUCAUCUUUCUCUAAGAUGAAUAUUUCAUUAUGAAACCAUUCAGGAGGUUCGAUAACUCUUCCUGACCUACACGGUUCAGUUACAGUCUUAACUGGAGUUUCUACAGUUGGUGUAGUAACUUCUAGUUCAUUUGUGUAGACAACUUCUGGAACAGAUUCCAUUUCGUUAGUCCUAUUUUCUGGAGAUUCAGCAACCUCGUCAAGCUGUAUUGUCCUCCCACUUACUUCUUUAGCAAGAAAAUCUUUCUCGAGAAGGUGUGCAUUCUUAGCGACAAAAACUUUGUCUUCGGACUUUUGGUAGAAGGAAUACCCAAUUGUUUCUUUGGGAUAACCUACAAAGUAACACUUGUCUACCUUGGGAUCGAGCUUAUUUGGCUGUAAAUGUUUUACAAAAGUCCCGCAACACCAAAUCUUGAGAUGCGAUUAACUGGUUUCUUCCCAUUCCAUAACUCAUAUGGUGUCGUCUCUACAGACUUGGACGAUGCUCUGUUUAGUGUAUAUGUUGUUGUUUCAAGUGCUAAUCCCCAAAAUGAUAAAGGUAGAUCAGUAAAUGACAUCAUUGACCUCACCAUGUCCAACAAAGUUUGGUUAUGCCUUUCAGACACUCCGUUUCUUUGUGGAGUUCCUGGAGGAGUAAGUUGUGAGACAAUUCCACAAUCACUUAGAUUUUUGCUAAACUCAUGACUCAGAUAUUCACCUCCACGAUCUGAUUGUAGAAACUUUAUCUUUUUGCCAUGAUGAUUCUCAAAUUCGUCUGAAAUUAUUUGAACUUUUCAAAUGUUUCAGACUUAUGUUCAUCAAGUAAAUAUAUCCAUAUCUACUUAAAUCAUCAAAGAAAGUUACAAAGUAUAAAUAUCCACCGCGCGCUGGAAUACUCAUUGGACCACAUACAUCAAUAUGUAUUAUAUCCAAUAAUUCAAGUGCUGUUUUGGAUGACUAGUGAACGUCGUUUUAGUCAUUUUACCCAUCAGACAAGCUUCGCACAUAUCAAAUGAUUCAAAAUCAAAAGAGGUUAACACUCCAUCUUUAUGAAAUUUCUGCAUGCAUUUCUUUCCAAUAUGACCAAGACGGCGAUGCUACAUGUAAGUGGUAUUAUCAGUCUUCUUAAGACAUUUAGCAUUAAUAUUAUAAACAACCUUUUCUCGUUCAAGAUCUAAUAUGAAUAAUCCACCAAUCAUGGGUGUAAAUCCAUAAAACAUAUCCUUAUAAUAUAUUGAACAACCAUUGUUCUCAGAUUUACAAGAAUAAUCAUCAUUUAUCCAACAUGAUCCAGAGAUUAUAUUUUUACUUAACUUCGGAACAAAAUAACAAUUACUUAGUUCUAAAUCCAAUCCCGAAGGUAAAUUCAAAGACAUGACACCGAUGGCUUGAGCAGCGAUCCCAUCACAAUUCUCGACACACAUCACAACUUCAUUUCUACUUAGCUUCCAAAUAUUCCGCAGUCCCUGCAACGUGUUGCAAAUGUUAGCAAUAGAACUGAUAUCAGAUACCCAUGACUUGGAAUUUUCGGUGAGUAGAAUAUCAAUAACAUUAGCUUGUAUAACUUCUAUACCUUUACCAGAAGACUUGUUCUACUUAUCUGCUAGAUACUUCAAGCAAUUUCUUUUCCAGUGUCCAUUCUCUUUGCAGUAAAAACAUAUAGUCUUGCAAGAAGCUUCACCCAUGUUUCUCUUGGUACUGCAUUUUCUUUAUAAACUUUCUGUCUUGUUUAUCAACUGCUUUUGUUGAUUCUGCAAUCCAAUCUCAUGAUUCUUGAGCAUUGCUUCAUACUUAAAGCAAAGAGAACAUCAAAUCAUUCUUUGGUGUUUUGGGGAUAUUAACUCCCAUUGCAGUCACACUAUCAUAAUAGUCUACGAAUAUGUCACCUUGAUCAACUAUUGAUAUGACCGCGUGUAAUUUAACUACGAUGGUCGAUACUGUUAUGGUCACGUCAAAUAAGGAAAAGCUAGUUGCCAUGACUUGUAUCCACGCGGACCAGCUAAAGAGCUUGUGUUUGUUUCGGACUAAUGAAAUAUAUGAAGACAUGUUUGGGGCCAAGACAUACACGUACUUGUAUUUUGGAUGCUUUGGUGUGCAUGGAGGCGUGAAGGAUAAUGGUGGCUCGUACAAUAAAAGGAGAUCAAUUCCAUUUAAAAAAUACACGCUAGGGGUCAAGCUGCGUUGGUUGUUUUUGUUCCUGCCGUGCAAGGGAUAUCAUGCAGCAGACCGGACGUAUAAUAUGUGGAGUCAGCUAUGCUUGAAGGAAAUCGGAUGGAGUCCCCCAACACAAAAACAGAAGCCGGCGACGCAUGCAACAAAUUUAGUAGUUUUUAUUUUCUUAAAUAGACUAGCAUAUACUUACGUGUUAUCUUUUCUUUUAAGUACGUACCAAGGCUUGCUUUCCAAGAUAGUUAGGGUGUGCGGCUAUUAUAUAAAGCCAAUUAGUUUUAUGUAAAAUUAGGUUAUCUUUUUAUGAAUAGACAUGAUGUGUUUAUAGGGUAAAUACACAUAUCGAGUUUUGGGGGAAGCUGUCUAAAAAUCCCUAAGUUUUGAAGGAAGCUUUAGAAAACCUCUGUGUUGCGAUUUCUCUGUGAGGAAAUUGUUUUGCGCGUGAGUACCGUCGUCGAGAUUGGUUUUCUCGUGCUGAGCCACAAGGUUCAAACCCUCUAUUUCGUGUACAUCGCGUGCGCAGGCGAGAGGUUGCUGCUAUUGGUGGUGGAGUGUCGUGAAAGGUCGGGCCGCAACAACGGAUCGAAUCUCGCCACGAGGUUCGGUCUACAUCAGGUGGUAUCAGAGCAAGGUUGUUCACGACACUGUGCAGAAGAUGACUGGUUUAUCAUGAAAGCUAAGCAAUGGAUUUCAAUUGGAGGAGGAAGGACGAUGGGAUGGACUUUUUCAUACUCGUGUUGUGGUACAAGAGAGAUCAUGUGCUAUGACAAUUGACCACAUGAGUUUGAUCAACGCGGCAAGCAUCGAGAUGGUGGAGAAGUUGGAACUACCAAUGACACCACGCCCACAACCAUACUCGUUCCGUUGGGGCCAUGAAGAGCUCAGUGUCACAUAUCAAACCAAGGUACCGUUUUCGUUGGGAAAAUAGUUUUGCACGGUUUUGUGUGACGUGAUUCCGGCUCCGAUGGUUUCAUGUCACUUAUUGUUGGGCGAGCCAUGGUACAAAGAGCACGAUGGUGCGUAUGAUUGUCAAACACACACAUAUACCGUCAAGAAGGGUAAGAAGUACGACCUAGUGCCCAUGGGUCAGGAGCGUUUUAAUUCUUGGAGGAAAGAACAUCUCGAGAAGAUGAAAGAGCAGAAAGAACAAGAAAGGAAGAAGGUCGAAGGUGCUACAAAUUUGACGGUCAUCGUUCCGUCUACAAAUAACAGUAUUGUUGAAGAGAUCAACUCGAAACCGAGGACGGUUUUGUUUCAAGGAGGAGAGGAUGAUAUGACCGCGUGUAAUUUAACUACGAUGGUCGAUACUGUUAUGGUCACGUCAAAUAAGGAAAAGCUAGUUGCCAUGACUUGUAUCCACGCGGACCAGCUAAAGAGCUUGUGUUUGUUUCGGACUAAUGAAAUAUAUGAAGACAUGUUUGGGGCCAAGACAUACACGUACUUGGAUUUUGGAUGCUUUGGUGUGCAUGCAGGCGUGAAGGAUAAUGGUGGCUCGUACAAUAAAAGGAGAUCAAUUCCAUUUAAAAAAUACAUGCUAGGGGUCAAGCUGCAUUGGUUGUUUUUGUUCCUGCCGUGCAAGGGAUAUCAUGCAGCAGACCGGACGUAUAAUAUGUGGAGUCAGCUAUGCUUGAAGGAAAUCGGAUGGAGUCCCCCAACACAAAAACAGAAGCCGGUGACGCAUGCAACAAAUUUAGUAGUUUUUAUUUUCUUAAAUAGACUAGCAUAUACUUACGUGUUAUCUUUUCUUUUAAGUACGUACCAAGGCUUGCUUUCCAAGAUAGCUAGGGUGUCUGGCUAUUAUAUAAAGCCAAUUAGUUUUAUGUAAAAUUAGGUUAUCUUUUUAUGAAUAGACAUGAUGUGUUUAUAGGGUAAAUACCCGUAUCGAGUUUUGGGGGAAGCUGUCUAAAAAUCCCUAAGUUUUGAAGGAAGCUUUAGAAAACCUCUGUGUUGCGAUUUCUCUGUGAGGAAAUUGUUUUGCGCGUGAGUACUGUCGUCGAGAUUGGUUUUCUCGUGCUGAGCCACAAGGUUCAAACCCUCUAUUUCGUGUACAUCGCGUGCGCAGGCGAAAGGUUGCUGCUAUUGGUGGUGGAGUGUCGUGAAAGGUCGGGCCGCAACAACGGAUCGAAUCUCGCCACGAGGUUCGGUCUACAUCAGGUGGUAUCAGAGCAAGGUUGUUCAAGACACUGUGCAGAAGAUGCUGGUUUAUCAUGAAAGCUAAGUAAUGGAUUUCAAUUGGAGGAGGAAGGACAAUGGGAUGGACUUUUUCAUACUCGUGUUGUGGUACAAGAGAGAUCAUUUGCUAUGACAAUUGACCACAUGAGUUUGAUCAACGCGGCAAGCAUCGAGAUGGUGGAGAAGUUGGAACUACCAAUGACACCACGCCCACAACCAUACUCGUUCCGUUGGGGCCAUGAAGAGCUCAGUGUCACAUAUCAAACCAAGGUACCGUUUUCGUUGGGAAAAUAGUUUUGCACGGUUUUGUGUGACGUGAUUCCGGCUCCGAUGGUUUCAUGUCACUUAUUGUUGGGCGAGCCAUGGUACAAAGAGCAUGAUGCUGCGUAUGAUUGUCAAACACACACAUAUACCGUCAAGAAGGGUAAGAAGUACGACCUAGUGGCCAUGGGUCAGGAGCGUUUUAAUUCUUGGAGGAAAGAACAUCUCGAGAAGAUGAAAGAGCAGAAAGAACAAGAAAGGAAGAAGGUCGAAGGUGCUACAAAUUUGACGGUCAUCGUUCCGUCUACAAAUAACAGUAUUGUUGAAGAGAUCAACUCAAAACCGAGGACGGUUUUGUUUCAAGGAGGAGAGGAUGAUAUGACCGCGUGUAAUUUAACUACGAUGGUCGAUACUGUUAUGGUCACGUCAAAUAAGGAAAAGCUAGUUGCCAUGACUUGUAUCCACGCGGACCAGCUAAAGAGCUUGUGUUUGUUUCGGACUAAUGAAAUAUAUGAAGACAUGUUUGGGGCCAAGACAUACACGUACUUGGAUUUUGGAUGCUUUGGUGUGCAUGCAGGCGUGAAGGAUAAUGGUGGCUCGUACAAUAAAAGGAGAUCAAUUCCAUUUAAAAAAUACAUGCUAGGGGUCAAGCUGCAUUGGUUGUUUUUGUUCCUGCCGUGCAAGGGAUAUCAUGCAGCAGACCGGACGUAUAAUAUGUGGAGUCAGCUAUGCUUGAAGGAAAUCGGAUGGAGUCCCCCAACACAAAAAUAGAAGCCGGUGACGCAUGCAACAAAUUUAGUAGUUUUUAUUUUCUUAAAUAGACUAGCAUAUACUUACGUGUUAUCUUUUCUUUUAAGUACGUACCAAGGCUUGCUUUCCAAGAUAGUUAGGGUGUGCGGCUAUUAUAUAAAGCCAAUUAGUUUUAUGUAAAAUUAGGUUAUCUUUUUAUGAAUAGACACGAUGUGUUUUUAGGGUAAAUACCCGUAUCGAGUUUUGGGGGAAGCUGUCUAAGAAUCCCUAAGUUUUGAAGGAAGCUUUAGAAAACCUCUGUGUUGCGAUUUCUCUGUGAGGAAAUUGUUUUGCGCGUGAGUACCAUCGUCGAGAUUGGUUUUCUCGUGCUGAGCCGCAAGGUUCAAACCCUCUAUUUCGUGUACAUCGCAUGCGCAGGCGAGAGGUUGCUGCUAUUGGUGGUGGAGUGUCGUGAAAGGUCGGGCCGCAACAACGGAUCGAAUCUCGCCACGAGGUUCUGUCUACAUCAGGUGGUAUCAGAGCAAGGUUGUUCAUGACACUGUGCAGAAGAUGACUGGUUUAUCAUGGAAGCUAAGCUAUGGAUUUCAAUUGGAGGAGGAAGGCUGAUGGGAUGGACUUUUUCAUACUCGUGUUGUGGUACAAGAGAGAUCAUGUGCUAUGACAAUUGACCACAUGAGUUUGAUCAACGCAGCAAGCAUCGAGAUGGUGGAGAAGUUGGAACUACCAAUGACACCACGCCCACAACCAUACUCGUUCCGUUGGGGCCAUGAAGAGCUCAGUCUCACACAUCAAACCAAGGUACCGUUUUCGUUGGGAAAAUAUUUUUGCACGGUUUUGUGUGAUGUGAUUCCGGCUCUGAUGGUUUCAUGUCACUUAUUGUUGGGCGAGCCAUGGUACAAAGAGCACGAUGUUGCAUAUGAUUGUCAAACACACACAUAUACCGUCAGGAAGGGUAAGAAGUACGACCUAGUGCCCAUGGGUCAGGAGCGUUUUAAUUCUUGGAGGAAAGAACAUCUCAAGAAGAUGAAAGAGCAGAAAGAACAAGAAAGGAAGAAGGUCGAAGGUGCUACAAAUUUGACGGUCAUCGUCCCGUCUACAAAUAACAGUAUUGUUGAAGAGAUCAACUCAAAACCGAGGACGGUUUUGUUUCAAGGAGGAGAAGAUGAUAUGACCGCGUGUAAUUUAACUACGAUGGUCGAUACUGUUAUGGUCACGUCAAAUAAGGAAAAGCUAGUUGCCAUGACUUGUAUCCACGCGGACCAGCUAAAGAGCUUGUGUUUGUUUCGGACUAAUGAAAUAUAUGAAGACAUGUUUGGGGCCAAGACAUACACGUACUUGGAUUUUGGAUGCUUUGGUGUGCAUGGAGGCAUGAAGGAUAAUGGUGGCUCGUACAAUAAAAGGAGAUCAAUUCCAUUUUAAAAAUACACGCUAGGGGUCAAGCUGCGUUGGUUGUUUUUGUUCCUGCCGUGCAAGGGAUAUCAUGCAGCAGACCGGACGUAUAAUAUGUGGAGUCAGCUAUGCUUGAAGGAAAUCGGAUGGAGUCCUCCAACACAAAAACAGAAGCCGGCGACGCAUGCAACAAAUUUAGUAGUUUUUAUUUUCUUAAAUAGACUAGCAUAUACUUACGUGUUAUCUUUUCUUUUAAGUACGUACCAAGGCUUGCUUUCCAAGAUAGUUAGGGUGUCCGGCUAUUAUAUAAAGCCAAUUAGUUUUAUGUAAAAUUAGGUUAUCUUUUUAUGAAUAGACAUGAUGUGUUUAUAGGGUAAAUACCCGUAUCGAGUUUUGGGGGAAGCUGUCUAAAAAUCCCUAAGUUUUGAAGGAAGCUUUAGAAAACCUCUGUGUUGCGAUUUCUCUGUGAGGAAAUUGUUUUGCGCGUGAGUACCAUCGUCGAGAUUGGUUUUCUCGUGCUGAGCCGCAAGGUUCAAACCCUCUAUUUCGUGUACAUCGCGUGCGCGGGCCAAAGGUUGCUGCUAUUGGUGGUGGAGUGUUGUGAAAGGCCGGGCCGCAACAACGGAUUGAAUCUCGCCACGAGGUUCGGUCUACAUCAACUAUCUUGCAUUCAUUCAUUGCUUUAGUCAUCUCAUGAACUUCAGUUGGGUCUUUGUGAACCAGAAAUUACAGUGCCUCGACAUCUCGAUGGGACUGAGUUUUUGAUAACAUUUCUGUAACACUUGAUCCAUGCAUGAUAGCAUAAUACUUUUGACAACACUGAAAUCAUUCUUGCGAGGUAUAAACACAUUGAUGACAUCUUGAGAUGCCCCAGGUGCCGGGUAGUCACCAAGUGGUUGAUCCAGCACACAUAUUCAUUCUUAGCACUCCUGAGAACAAAUCUUGGAGUGUGGAUCCAAUCCUCAUAGUUUCCAACAUUUGUAGUCAACUUUUCUUUCUCAAACAGGGGUGCUAAAUUUAAACCAUUGCAAGCCAUUGAUCUACAACAAUAAACACAAGAUUCAACUUGGACAUUUCAUAAUUAAGAUUGCACUAGUAUUUAAACAUUUUAAUAUAAAGUGCGCUCCCACUCAAAUCAAUAUCUCUCAUAAUUGAUAGUGAGUGACUCAAGAUCCAAAUCUAGUUCUCAGUCAUUGAUGUGGACGUCACUAAUGCCGAUAAUUUUGACCGGUGGGGAAGCAAUUGCUGAUCAUAUCACCAUAUGACUCUUGGUCAUCUUUCGAUGCUCCGUGCUCCAAGCUCAGAAUGAUUCUGCCAGAACUUCAAGACAACCGAGUGAUAUCUACUUAUAUGGCCUGACCAUAUCCGUCUUACACCUCUCACCAUGUUUGUACUCAUGUGUACAUGACAUACUCCAUGAUGCUAAAAUGUCGUAGACGAUUGUAACACUGGGAAGAGUACCUUUUAACUUGAUAUUUACUGCGAGAGAUCACCCUAAUAAUUGACUACUGCACAAUGAAAGGGUGCAAACAACAAAGGGGUAAACAACUCAGGAAAUUUAUAAAAGCAUGAUAUGGUAUAACCCUGGGCGCCGGGAAUCCACCAUGAUCAUAUUCAAUCUUCUGCUGAAGCGUCGUGACGACCAAUAUUUUGUUGUUGUGGCAACCAUUUCAAAAAUGUUGUCGUGGAUGCAAUUUCAGAAAACGUUGUCGUGGCGACCAUUUCAGAAAACGUUGUUGUAGCACCAAAUUCAUAAAUUCUGUCGUGGCGCGAAAUUAUAGCUCCUCGUCCUGCGCCUAGUACACCUUCUCCUCGUCGGGGUCCUCUGUGUCCAUUUGCCAUCAUGACCUGUAACCUGUAAGCUAUCUCUACAAUAUUUACAUUAACAUGUCAAUCUCGUGGCUCCAGCCAUCAUGUCGUGAUACGCAGGCCACUUAACAUUACAACAUAUAACCAUCUCAUACAUAAACUCAUUAUCAUGACGAAGGCUAUGCCACAUCAUAUGCAUACUCUGCAAAACCAAGUUAGACUCCCUCUAAUCUGUUUUAGCAAAAUUUUAGUUACGCGGUUAACAAAUUUUAGAAAAUAGUACUAGCUACCUAUGUCUGCAACAUAGGCAAUAAUUCUUGAUGCUAGAUUAAGUUUCGGGGUGUCUGAAACAAACUAAAUUAAAAUUCUCUAGCCCCACACUAAACUUCAUCAAAUAUGCGUGACCCCCUAGAAGAUCAUCCAUCUUCAUCACCCUCUUGUGUACGCGAUGGUGCACUAUUCUCAACUAUGAUGAAGCCGAAGGAGUUGUUAGCAAAUCAUCAUCGCCAGAGCCGAUAUAUUGUCAGAACCUUGUAAUAAAGCUACCUCAUAUGGUCGAUGAACUGAACUGAAGGAACACUCAAGGGAAGCAUAGCAAGAACAUAAACCCUCACAUCCAUAUGUGAUCUAGAUCACAACCUGCACUUACUCAUAUAACGGCUCUGAUACCACUGUUGGGAAACCUAGUAGAAAACAAAAAAACCACGCCUACGCACACCCUAGAUCAAUAUGAAGAUGCAUAAUGGGUUGGGAUCACGGUCGUUACCGUCACCGAGUUGAGGUGCAAAAAGAAUGUGUCAGUGUAGGUCGUACUUGGAAUCCCUCGAACUAUCGGUGGACAUUCCGCGAACCGCCCAUGAAUAGUCCCUCGAACUGAAGACAGAAAGCAUGGCCUCUCUACUUAGUUGCAAGCGUGCAACCUUCACGAUCCGGUAGUGCUUCGCCGUCCAGAGCUAAUCAUCACCGGAGAAUUAGAGGGAGGAGAUCAAAACCACACUGGGCUUCUAAUUAUGAGGAUUAUAGGAUUAGUCUAGCUCUAAUUACUUAACUAGGACUAACUAGAACUAGAACUAGAAGAACUAGAGGAGGCUCCAAGACUUGUGUGUAAAAGAGCACGAAACCUCAAGUAUAUAUAGGUGAGAGGGGAGAGGGAGGCUGCCACUAGUGCAACGGCCUAGGGAGGAGGAGUAUGACUCCUCCUACACCCCAAUUUGGCCUCCUUCCUUACGGAAGGGGUGCCUCCUCCACUUGGGCCUUUGUGGCCCAAGUUGCCUUCCACCUUUUGGCCUUUUAAGGCCCGUUGAUAUUAAAUUACAUAUAAAAAUAUUCCAAAUACUUUUAGACAAUUUUAUAUAUAAUUUAACAUUCUCGGAAACAUUUUCCACCUAUAUAUUAUUUAUCGUAAUACCCAGCAUUACCGGAUAUUCACCGAAACCCUUCCGGUGACCCCGAAACGCUUCCGAAUCCUCAUGGAACUAUUCCGAAUAUUAAUGAAAAAAAAAAUCCACAAAUAUAAUCUCAUCACUCUCGUCCUAUUAACACUCAAUAGAUCAUGACUUCCUUAAGCUUGUGACCUCGUAGGUUCAGUAACUCAUAGACAUGAACGAAACCCCUUCGUUCAAUGACCGAUAACGGAACCGUGGACGUCCAUAUCAAUCCCUAUGAGCACAGAAUGAUAUCCGAGUGAACCUUUGGUUAUCAUGUGAUGUUACCUUUAUUUCGUGAUACUUUACAAAACCUAGGAUGCAUCAGUAUCGUCCUUAGUCAGCACAUGCUCACUAUACCAAAAUCCUCGUUACCAGUUUUGUUCAUUUAUCUCGUUGUCGUGUUGCAGCAUCCCCGUGAUGUAGUCAUCUGUGUAGCGAGACGAUGAUGGAUGCAGUCACACUGAGAGGGCCCUAAGAAUAUCCCUCCAUCGUCGGAGGAGAAAACCCCACUCUUGAGCUAUCUAGUCACUUAUCAAACUUUCCCAUGAACCCGUAAAUUGUAGUUAUGAUCAGCGUGUUACAUGUGACGUUUGAGCAACCCAAAAGCUUACCGUAUGGUAAGAAGUGACUACGAUACUCUCAUGGUCUAAGGAGCAAAAUCACAAAUUAACACUCCGUGUUAUUAAAAUUGAUUAUAUAGACGAUAUUACUCAAUCCAUAUUAGACAAAUUUGGGCCGAUUCAAUAUGAUCGUUCUUCCAACGUCAUAAUCUCAAUGUUGUUUUAGGGCUAUCGUUUAACACUUAAACGAUAUCCUAAGAUUUGGAAAACGUGAUUGCCAACAACACUUGAGCUAGUCCUAGAGGCAAGACUAGGAAUCUUUUAGUUAACAUUUAUCAUUCCAACGUGCUUAUGAGUUUUCCACCGAAUCACGUAUUCUAGGAUCAUAGCAGUUAUAGCAUAGAAUAUAAACUCUUUAAUUAUGAAUAUGGAAAUAUAAUAAUACAAAUAUUAUUGCUUCUAGGCAAUAUUUCCAACAGAGAGACCAAGCACCAUUAGAGCACCUACAUCCAGCAUCCUCAAACGUCCGCAGAGAGGCCCGGUCAGUGACCGGACAGGAAAGAGAAGGAAAAAAUUAACCCAACCAGACUCCUCGUAUUGUUCCUAUAUGUCUGGAUUGUCCGGGAACCCUCAUAUUGAGGAAAAAUAUAGGGGGGGGGUAUAAGGGCUCACGGACACGCCCGGAUGCGCCAGUUCAGUCCGCCAUGUAGGACGUAGCCCAACCCUGACCACCUUUUCUCUUUCUCUUUCUUUAUUCAUUCUUUUAUUUUUGUCUCUUUAUCUCCACCAAUCACGUGUAAGUGAUCGGGCAUAUGAGGGAGAAAAUGAGGAGUGUGUCUGCAUGGACAAACAAAUAGGGGCUCAAAAUGGACACUCCUGGUCCCGUCUACAGGCGUGUAAGGGGCAGCUUUGUAAGUCCGGCUGUAGAUGCUCUUAGAGGUCAUACAUUCUUAUCUACGUGAGAUGAAUGGUGUGUUGACUAAAGGCAGAAAAAAUAUUUCAUGACGCUGAUUGAUGAUUCCACUAGGUUUUGCCAUGCUUAUUUAUUAGAUACUAAAUAUGAGGUUCUACUCUAUUUUAAAGUCUAUAAGGCAGAAGUUACAAAUACCUUGAAACAAAAGUUAAAUGAGUCUGGUUUGAUCGUGGUGGAGAGUACUUUUCUAAUGUGUUUAAUUCUUUCUAUGCGGAAUAUGGUAUUAUUCAUCAGAGUAUUCCGUUUACUAGACUCAAACGGGGUUGCCAAAUGGAAAAACCUUAUUCUAACAGAUUUGUUUAAUGCCAUGUUAGAUGCAUCGGGUUUGUCCAAGGCAUGGUUGGGGAUGCUAUAUUGACAUCAUGUCGUGACCCGAGUAAGGUUCUCAUGAAGGAUCAUGAGAUCACUCUGUAUGACCAAUGCGAGAAGAAAAGAACGACACUCUCUUAUUUAUGUAUUUGGGGUUGCCUUGCGAAAGUCAGUGUGUCGAUUACCAAAAAGUGUAAGCUUGAACAAAAUACUACGAACUACAUUUUUCUAGGCUAUUCUAAGCAUAACAUUGGCUAUAGAUUUCUAGUGGUGAAUCUGAAGUACCUGAUGUGAAGAUCAGUAUGAUUAUGGAGUCUAAGAUGCUAGAUUCUUUGAGGAUAUUGUUCAUAUGAGAGAUAUGCAAAGCACUUCUAGACAAGAAUAUGAUGUGACUCCUAAACCUACCAUUCCUAUGAAAUAUCAUGAACAAACACAUGAUGAAAAUCCUAUGAGAAAGACAAUGAAGCUCCUUAUAGGAGCAAGAGACAGAGGACUUCAAAGUAAUUUGGUGAUGAUUUCAUUGUGUACCUCGUGGAUGAUACUCUCAAUUCCAUUUUAGAAGGUUAUGCAUCUCUAGAUGCAUGCUGACAACUAGAAGGAUGCAGUCCAUACCGAGAUGGAUUUUAUUAUGGCUAAUGGUACAUAGGAAAUUAGUGAUAAUGCCUCUAGUUGCAAACCAGUAGGACGUAAGUGGGUGUUCAUAAAGAAGUUUAGGCUUGAUGGUACAGUUGAAAAGUACAAGGCUAGGCUUAUGGUGAAUGAUUAUACCUAUAAAGAAGGCAGAUAUUGGUUGUCUCGCAUGGUCUUCUCGUUCAUUAGAUGUACGUCAAGACGACUUUCCUAAAUGGAGGGCUAUACAGGAAAAUCUACAUGCAAUAACAUAUGCCUUUGUAGUAGAUGGUUAGGAGAAAAGGUGUGCAAAUUAUUGAGAUAUUUGUAUGGCCUAAAACAAACACCUAAAUAAUGCCAUGAGAAGUUUGAUAAAACUGUAACACCUGUUGGCUUUAUUGUUAAUGAAACUGACAAUUGUGUGUACUAUCUCCAUGGUGGGGACGAAGGAGUUAUACUGUGCUUGUAUGUUGACGACAUACUUAUAUUUGGAACCAACCUCGAAGUCUUUGAGGAGGUCAAAGUUUUUCUAUCUCAUAACUUUAAGAUGAAAGAUCUAGGUGUGGCUGAUAUUAUCUUGAACAUCAAGCUAUUGAGGUAUAAUGAGGGUGGGAUUACACUUCUACUAUCCCACUAUAUUAAGAAAGUUCUGAAUCGCUUUGGUUAUGCAGAAUGCAAAUUUUCUCCAACACCAUAUGAUUCUAGUGCACGGAUUCAAAAGUUUGAAGGUGUAGCUAAAGAUCAAUUGAGAUACUCUCAAGUUAUUGGUUCACUCAUGUACCUAGCUUGCGCUAUGAGGCUUGACACAACGUUUGCUGUGAGCAAACUGAGUUGGUUUGUUUCCAUUUCGGAAUAUUACAUGUCGUGACAGACAAGGAGGAGAUCAUGCUCUCCUCUAGGGAUGAGGAGGCGCAGCCGCCCCUUCUCGUAGAGGCCUAUUAAUAUUUGGAACCAACCUCGAAGUCCUUGAGGAGGUUAAGGUUUUUUAAUCUCAUAACUUUAAGAUGAAAGAUCUUGGUGUGGCUAAUUUUAUCUUGAACAUCAAGCUAUUGAGAGAUAAUGAGGGUGAGAUUACACUUCUUCUAUCCCACUAUAUUGAGAAGGUUAUGUGUUGCUUUGGCUAUGCAUAAUGCAAAUUUUCUCCAACACCAUAUGAUUCUAGUGCACGGAUUCAAAAGUUUAAAGGCAUAGAUAAAGAUCAGUUGAGAUACUUGAUACGUCUCCGUCGUAUCUACUUUUCCAAACACUUUUGCUCUUGCUUUGGACUCUAAUUUGCAUGAUUUGAAUGAAACUAACCCGGACUGACGUUGUUUUCAACAGAACUACCAUUGUAUUGUUUUUUGUGCAGAAAUAAAAGUUCUCGGAAUUGAAUGACACUUUUUGGAGAUUUUUUAUGCAAUAUAUAAAAAAUACUGGAGCAAAGACCCACCAAAGGGGGCCACCAGUUACCCACAAGGCAAUAGGGUGCGGCCACCACUGGGCACGCCAUGUUACCUUGUGGGGCCCACGUGGCUCUGCUGACCCCAAUCUGAAGUCUAUAAAUUUUGUCUUCCCGAGAAAAAAAUAAAAGAAGUUUCAUCGUGUUUUACGAUACGGAGCCGCUGCCACCUCUUGUUCUUCAUCGGGAGGGCUGAUCUGGAGUCCGUUCGGGGCACCAUAGACGGGAGUUCGUCGCCAUCAUCAUCACCAAACAUUCUUCAUCACCAAUUUCAUGAUGCUCACCACCGGGAGUGAGUAAUUCCUUCGUAGGCUUGCUGGACGGUGAUGGAUUUGGAUGAGAUUUGUCAUGUAAUUCACUCAAAGGGCUUGAUCCCUAGUAUCCACUAUGUUCUGAGAUUGAUGUUGCUAUGACUUUGCUAUGCUUAAUGCUUGUUACUAUGGCCCGAGUAUGAUACAUCUCGAACGUAUCUACUUUUCCUAACACUUAUCCUCUUGUUUUGGACUCUAAUUUGCAUUAUUUGAAUGAAACGAACCCCGGAUUGACGCUGUUUUUAGCAGAACUACCAUGGUGAUGUUUUUGUGUAGAAAUAAAAGUUCUCGGAAUGGAACGAAACUUUGCGAGGAUUUUUUAUACCAAUAAAGAGAAUUUCUGGAGCCAAGAGCCACCGGAGGGGGGCACCUGGCUGUGCACAACCCACCAGGGCGUGCCUGCCCUCCCAGGCAUGCCCAGGUGGGUUGUCCGCACCUGGUGGCCCCGCAAACCCUGAAACCGACGCUAUAAAAUCCUAUUUUUCCAGAAAAAUCAGGGAGAAAGAAUUAUCGCGAUCCACGAGACGGAGCCGCCGUCACCUCCUGUUCUUCUUCGGGAGGCCAGAUCUGGAGUCUGUUUUGGGCUCCGGAGAGUGGGUACUUCGUUCUUCAUCAUCGCCAACCCUUCUCCAUCGCCAAUUCCAUGAUGCUCCCCACCGGGAGUGAGUAAUUCCUUCAUAGGCUCGCUGGUCGGUGAGGAGUUGGAUGAGAUUCAUCAUGUAAUCUAGUUAGUUUUGUUCGGGCUUGAUCCCUAGUAUCCACUAUGUUUUGAGAUUGAUGUUGCUAUGACUUUGCCAUGCUUAAUGCUUGUCACUUUGGGCCCGGGUGCCAUGGUUUCAGAUCUGAACCAUUUAUGUUAUCACCAUUAUAUCCAUGUUCGAGAUCCGAUCUUGCAAGUUAUAGUCACCUACUACAUGUUAUGAUCUGGCAACCCCCGAGUGACAAUAGUCGGGACCAGUCCCGGUGAUGACCGUAGUUUGAGGAGUUCAUGUAUUCACCGUGUGUUAAUGCUUUGUUCCGGUUCUCUAUUAAAAGGAGGCCUUAAUAUCCCUAAGUUUCCAAUUGGACCCCGCUCCCACGGGAGGGUAGGACAAAAGAUGUCAUGCAAGUUCUUUCCAUAAGCACGUAUGACUAUUUAUGGAAUACAUGCCUACAUUAUAUUUAUGAACUGGAGCUAGUGCUGUAUCGCCCUAGGUUAUGACUGCCACAUGAUGAAUAUCAUCCAACAAAUUAUCGAUCCAAUGCCUAUGAAUUUAUCCUAUAUUGUUCUUGCUAAGUUACUACUGCUAUCGUUACUGUUACAGUUGCUACAAAAUCACUGCUAUCACUUUUACCGUUACUAUUGCUGCUACUACUAUUAUCAAAACUAUCAUACUACUUUGCUACUGAUCACUUUGCUGCAGAUAAUUAAUCUCCAGGUGUGGUUGAAUUGACAACUCAGCUGCUAAUACUUGCAAAUAUUCUUUGGCUCCCCUUGUGUCGAAUCUAUAAAUUUGUGUUGAAUACUCUACCCUCAAAAACUAUUGUGAUCCUGGGUUAUCAAGACCUUUCUCUGGCGCCGCUACCGGGGAGCAUAGCUAUAUUUGUUGAGUCACUUGGGAUUAUUAUCAAUUUAUCACUAUGAAGAAUCCGAAGGAUGCUAAUACUAAGAUUUAUCCCUCUAAGACGAGGGGAGGUAAGGAGCUGCCAUCCAGUUCCGCUUUAGAUUCACCUUCUGUUAUAAGUAAACUUGCAACACCACCACAUGCUAUUAAUCCUGAUAUGUCGCAAGUUAUUAAUGAUGCUACUUCUACUAUGAAUGAUGCUUAUGAUGAUGCUACGCUAGUACGCAUUGGUGCUAUACAAACGGUUUUUAACCCCUUUCUGCGACGGCAUUUGGGACCGUCACCAAGUGAGUGUGGGCGAUAGGGUGUCCUUCCCACACGACCCAGAAACUGUCGGGGAUAUGGAGCAGUGAUCCAGAGGCCUUCCAAAAUGUAAUCGUGUGCGAUGCAGCACACACUAAAUUCUUUCGCACGUGUGGUAUCGGUGAUUAAACAUUUCUAAUGACGCAGUGAAACCAUACGGUCUGUCGUAAUGAACCAUUUGGGAAACAGUAUGUAAGGCACACAGGCCAACAUAUGAACUGUGUGCGAUUUGUGCCCCAUCGCACAUGAGUUUUCUGCGUAACCCGUCUGCCAUGCAAGACUCCAUCGCACACGUUUGCCAACAAUUACCGCCUGCGAUAAUGUUCUAUGACAAAUGGUUCAGGAUCCCCUUCGCAAUCAUACAAGUGCUGCAGACCGUUUGUGAUUUGUUGGGUAUCACCGACGGUUGCCGCAACAGUGACGUGUGCUUUUCGUUUGGGAUCCCACACGUUUCCUGAAAAAUUACAACUGGGAUUGUAUUUUACAUUGGGCACGGUUUACUCCCAGUUCUCGUGUGCGAUAACGCGAUAUCACAAAUGGUUCCGGAGACCCUACACACACGUACUAGCGCUGCAAAUCGUUUGCGAUCUGCUGUGUAUCACUGACGGUUCCGCUAAGAUUGAUGUAUGCUUUCCGAUGUGGAUCGCACACACUCAUCUAGUUGAACCGUGUGCGGAGCAAUUGCCAGGUUAAAACAAAAAUAUCCCAUUUUGGAUCGGCAUGCAAAAAGCAAAUUUGCCACAAUAUUCAAUUGAACAAAUAAAAAAAAUCAUAUUUUGAAUCGGCACGCAAAAAGCAAAUUCGCCACAAUAUUCAAUUGAAUAAAUAAACAAAAAUACCCCAUUUUGAAUCGGCACGCAAAAAGCAAAUUCACCACAAUAUUCAAUUGAACAAAUAGUGUCCACAUGAAGAACAUUCAUCAGAUUUCGCAACAAUUGCAAGUGAACAUAUGGUAGCUAAAUUCCAAUGAUUUGUCCACACAUAUAUGCAUUACAUAAUUAAUAGUAGUGUACGAAAUACGAAGACCUCAUCAGAUGGAAAACAAUGGAUCCAUGUGUUAUAUGUUUAGCAGCUAACUCUUACUCAAUGUUUCAGGAGAAGACAUGCUGAAAUCUUCAUUAUCACCAGUGGGAUUGAUGUAGUGAUCCAGGAAGAAGUUGCUGAUAAAUCUCCGAACCAUCAGCAAUUCACCAGCUGGGAGCGGUUCAGGGGUCAUCGGUUUUAAGAUGAGAUGCAGUAUUUUUAAGAUCAGAAUGUGCCAUAUGAGUGGAGUAGAAGAUAUUAAUUAAGAUAGACUUACUGGUACUAAUUCGCGAGGAUCAUCACAACUAUCAGCAGAUUUGCAUCAAGAUGGGAAUGGGCCGGCCCGGACCUGGCCUUGGACCUGGCCCCGUGGCCCCAAGGUCAAUAUGUGAGGCCAUGGGUCAACCCAUUUCAUCAAAAAUUUGUGGCCUCACUGAGCCAUUGGGUAUAUGAGGCCGACCCAAGAUUAAGAUGGAAAAUCCAUGAAUCCAGUGAUCACAAUCUGAAGACUGGGAAGGCCACUGGGACAGCGAGCUGUACAAGUUAGAGAGGAAUAGUACAUUGACCGGGAUGGCGAGCUCGACGGUGACCAAGACACGAACGACACGCUGGUUUUUCUACGUGCAUGUACUAGUAGUUGACGUAACAAUCAAUCCACCUGUCUCUCUGUCUGCUUCUUGUGUACAACACAUCUCCAACAGAAUCAAUCGAGUUCAUAUACCGUAGAUGUGUCCAGGGGCGUCUCGAAUAGGGUCGGCCAACAGUGACUAGGGCCUAGUGAUUCGACUGGGUCGACCCAUCUGACCCAUCGAGUCACACGAUGCCGGCUCCACUGACCCAUAUAUCAUUUGAGGCCGACCCAUUUGGCCCAUUGGCCUUGAAAUUUCGGGCCGGGUCAGUGACCCAGCGGGCCGACCUGGCCCGUUCCCAUCUUGAGAUUUGCAGAUGGAGAUCAUGUGUCUGCAAACAUAGUAUCCACAAAGGUUGGUCCCUGCUUCUUGCUGAGGACACUGAAUUUUUUUUGUACAGAAUUAGUCAUGUAUUUGUCCUGUUAGGAACAACCUAACCGGUGUUAGAUGUAUUAUUUUUUCUUUGGAUAAAAUAGAAAGAGGAUUAUUUAGAAGCUUGAACAUUUGACUAGCGUAAGGAAAGGUAUUUGCAGACUGUUGGAUAAAUUUUCCGAAAAUAACGGAUUUCGGUGUAUUACCGGAGAAACGAUCUCGUGCUGCAGAGGUAGUUCCCUCUUGAACAGUUUCCCUGGUUUAGUUUUCCACAAUGCGAGCACACUGCAAAUGAUGAUGAAUUUUGACAACAUCAAUUAUUGAACCAGAUAUGAAUGCAAAUUAAUUUCAACAUCAUAGAAUUCAAUACCUAUCCAUGACUUGCUGAAAAUGCGUUAGAUCCUCAGCGUUUGUUAACUCUUUGAGAGAAUCGAUGUAGUAAACUGUGUUCUUGUUUGGAACAAUGAAUACCAAUAUCCAGUGAUCGCUACAUAUUAAGAAAGCCAUAAACUUACGAAUUAUGUCGAAAUCUGAAAGACAAUAAGUGUAUGUGUGGUUGUUUACUCUACUUACUGUUCAUGAUAUGGUGAUGUCUACUACGCAACUUUAUUCUUGUAGACUCGUGUUGGGCCUCCAAGCGCAGAGUUUUGUAGGACAGUAGCAAGUUUCCCUCAAGUGGAUGACCUAAGGUUUAUCAAUCCGUGGGAGGUGUAGGAUGAAGAUGGUCUCUCUCAGACGACCUUGCAACCAAAUACAAGAAAUCUCUUGUGUCCCCAACACACCCAAUACAAUGGCAAAUUGUAUAGGUGCACUAGUUCGGCGAAGAGAUGGUGAUAAAAGUGUAAUAUGGAUGGUAGAAAUAUAUUUUUAUAAUCUGAAUAAAUAAAAACAGCAAGGUAGCAAAUAGUAAACAGGCACAAAAACAUUAUUGCAAUGCUUGAAAACAAGGCCUAGGGUCCGUACUUUCGCUAGUGCAACCUCUCAACAAUGCUAACAUAGUUGGAUCAUAUGAUUAUCCCUCAAAGUGUAAUAAAGAAUCACUCCGGAGUUCCUAUUAGCGGAGAACAAAAGAUAGAUAUUGUUUGUAGGUUACGAGACCACCUCAAAGCUAUUCUUUCCGUCCAAUCUAUUCAAGAGUUCGUACUAGAAUAACACCAAAGCAAAUUCAUAUUCAUAAUACUCAAUCCACACAAAGAACUAUAAAGAAACCCCAAAGUUUCUACCGGAGAAAAACAUGCAGCAACCCCUACGCAUAGAUUACCCUAAUAUCAUCGCGGGAAUUGGUGAGUUGAAUGCCAAGAUACAUAUCAAGUGAAUCAAUAUGAUACCUCAAUUGUCACCUCAAGAAUUCAUACCGCAAGAUAUAUAUCAUGUGUUCUCAUCUCUGAAUAUUCAAUCCGACAAGACAAAACUUCAAAGGGUAAAGAUUCAAUUCAUCAUAACAAGAGUAUAGAGGGUAGAAACAUCAUAUGAUCCGACUAUAUUAACAAAGCCCAUGAUAGUGAUCACGAGAGAGAGAGAGAGAGAGAGAGAGAGAUCAAACACAUAGCUACUGGUACAAACCCUCAGCCCCGAGGGUGGACUACUCCCUCCUCAUCAUGGUGGCCGCCGGGAUGAUGAAGAUGGCCACCGGAGAUGAUUCCCCCGUCCGGCACGGUGCCGAAACGGGUCUAGAUUGGUUUUAGGUGGCUACGGAGCCCUGCGGCGGCGGAACUUCUGAUCUAGGUUAAGCCCGAUGGGUUUCAGAAUAUUUGGGAAUUUAUAGUGCAAAGAGGGGUGCGGGAGGCCACCGAGGUGGGCACAACCCACCUGGGCGCGCCAGGGGGGCCUGACGCGCCCUGGUGGGUUGUGCCCCCUCGGGGCACCCCCCAAGUGCUGCUCUGGCCCCAUGGAUGUCUUCUGGCCCAUAAAAAAAUCUCCGUGGAGUUUUGUUGCGUUUGGACUCCGUUUGGUAUUGAUUUCCUGCGAUGUAAAAAACAAGCAAAAACAGCAAGUGGCACUGGGUCAAUAGGUUAGUCCCAAAAAAUGAUAUAAAGUUGCUAUAAAAUGAUUGUAAAACAUCCAAGAAUGAUAAAAUAACAGCAUGAAUACUUCAUAAAUUAUAGAUACGUUGGAGACGUAUCAGCAUCCCCAAGCUUAAUUCCUACUCGUCCUCGAGUAGGUAAAUGAUAAAAGAAAUAAUUUAUGAAGUGUGAAUGCUAGCAAAGUGCAUAAGUUUGAUCAAUAAUAAUUUCAAUCACUUUUCCUAGCAUCAUAACAGCAAUUCUUUCUUAUAAAACUUCUCAUGUUAUAGUGGCAACCAAUUCACAUGUUAAGGUUCAAACAAUGAACUCUCUUGAAACUCAACAACCUAUGUUCUUAGUCAGCAAGCAAUUGCAAUUCAACUUAUUCAAGAGAGUUUAAGUAAGAGAUCCACAUACUCAACCAUCAUAUGGUCUUCUAUGAUUGCUAACACUCACCGCAUACACAUGAGCAAAAUGUUUCAACCGAACACAUAGAAAGAUAGGGGCUUAUUGUUUUGCCUCCCAACGUAUUCACCUCAAGGGUGAUGUCAACAAUAAUAACUCAUGCUACCCAUAUUCAACUGGACAUAUGUGCCUAGAUCUUUGCUCACCACAUGAUGCUUUCCAAAAGAGAAAAAUAAAAAGGAAUAGAGAUAAUGACUUUGACUCUUUGCAUAAAAAUAAAUACUGAAAAUUAAAAGAUAGGCCCUUCUCAGAGGGAAGCAGAGGUUGCCAUGCGCUUAUUUGUUUGUAUGCUCAAUCCCUUAGUGCAAAAGAACGUCACGUUAUAUUGCCCCUUAUGAUAGCAACCUUAUUAUGCAGUCCGUCGCUUUUAUUGCUCUGCCAUCAUAAGUUCGUACAACGCUCAAUUUUCUCUUACACUAAAUGAUCUAACACUUUUAGAAGCAAUUUUUAUUGCCUUAUUGCACCGAUGACAACUUACUUGAAGGAUCUUGCUCAAUCCUUAGGUAGGUAUGGUGGACUCUUGAAAAUAAGAUUUGGGUUUAAGGGUUUUUGGAUGCACAAGUAGUAUCUCUACUUAGUGCGGAAUUUUUGGCUAGCAAAGAUGAAGGCAACUCUCUGGGUCCCUACCGACGCUGGGGUGCGAAAGCAUGGGGAGCGAACGGGAUUAGAUACCCUGGUACUCCAUGCCGUAAAUGAUGAGUGUUCGCCCUUGGUCUACGCGGAUCAAGGGCCCAGCUAACGCGUGAAACACUCCGCCUGGGGAGUACGGUCGCAAGACCAAAACUCAAAGGAAUUGACGGGGGCCUGCACAAGCGGUGGAGCAUGUAGUUUAAUUCGAUACAACGCGCAAAACCUUAGAGUCUAUGAAAAUAUGACUUCUAUGUGAAUAUGAGCAAACAUAAAUCAUUACGUUGUCUUCCUUGUCCAAUGUCAACAAUUUCGGCAUAUAAUAUUUUGAUUGGGGCUCACAAUCACAAAAGAUUUCCAUGAUAGUGUAUUUGCAUGUGAAAGUUCUCUUCCUUAUACUAAUUAUUCGUGAAUUGCUUGUAUGACCAAAAUUGUGAUUGUCAAGCCUCAAAAGGUUUCAUUUACUAAACCCAAUGUGAAGCUACCACUAGGCAUGAUAUGAUUUCAACUUCAUGACAUUCAAUUUAUUCAACAAUUUACUCAUAGGAUAUAAGUGAAGCACAAUAGUAAAUGACAAGCUACUCCAAAAAGAUAUAAGUGAAGAUCAUGCGAGUACUUAGGUAAAUAGGUAGCUAAUUGUGGACUCUCUCUUAUUUAAAAACCUUCAGAUCUAAGUAUUUUAUUAAAACAGCAAGCAAAAACAAAAUAAAAUAUCAUUCUAAGAAUAGCACACAUCAUGUGAAGAAGCAAAAACUUAGGCUCAACCGAUACUAACCGAUAGUUGUUGAAGAAGAAAGAUGGGAUGCCUACCGGGGCAUCCCCAAGCUUAGAUGCUUGAGAAUUCUUGAAUAUUAUCUUGGGAUGCCUUGGGCAUCCCCAAGCUUGAGCUUUUGUGUCUCCUUAAUUCUUCUCAUAUCACGGUUUUCCUAAAUCUCAAAAGCUUCAUCCACACAAAACUCAACAAGAACUCGUGAGAUAAGUUAGUAUAAACUAAUGCAAAAACCCUAUCAUUCUCUACUGUAGCAAAUCACUAAAAUUAUUAUUCAACAUUACAUACUAAAUUCCUCUGCAUAUUUAAUACUCCUAUCCUCAAAUAGAUUCAUUGAACAAGCAAGCAUAUGCAAACAUAACAACAAUCUGCCAAAACAGUAGAGUCUGUAAAGAAUGCAAGAGUAUAAAUACUUAUUGAAAUCCAAACAUUAUGAAAUUAAACCACACUGUAGAAAAUUUAUCAGAUAUUAUUAUGCAAAAAAAUUCAACAUUUUAUCACAUUCUGACUUUCCUCGGGAAUUUUUGCAACAUCGAUAAACUUUCUGUUUUGAAACAGCAACAUGUAGACUUGCAAAAUAAGCAUGGCAAAGGCUAUACUUGACACUUUUAUUGCAAUAAAAGAUGCAAAAUGUUAUUCUAAAUAACAGAAAGAAAAUCUAACAAAAUAAAAUGACGCUCCAAGUAAAACUCAUAUCAUGUGACGAAUGAAAACAUAGCUCCUAGUGAGGUUACCGAUAAUGUUUGAGACGAAAGAGGGGAUGCCUUCCUGGGCAUCCCCAAGCUUAGUUGCUUGGAUCUUCCUUGGAUAUUACCUUGGGGGUGCCUUGGGAAUCCCCAAUCUUAGGGUAUUUUCACUCCUUAUUCUCUUCAUAUCGAUAUCUCACCAACAACUUGAAAACUUCAAUCACACAAAACUUAACGGAAGUUCGUGAGAUAGGUUAGUAUGAUAAAGAGCAAACCAUUUCACUUUUGGUACUGUCAAAGAAAAGAUUCAUAAUUGUUCUCACACCAUUCCUACUAUAGCAUAUCAUUUCCACAAUUUAUAUUGAGAAAUAUAAGCCAUAGAAACUAGAAAGCAACCAAACUAUGCAUUGGAAACAGAAUCUGUCAAAAACAGAACAGUCUGUAAUGAUCUGGAUAACUACCAUACUUUCGCUACUGCAAAAAUUAUGAAAAAAAUAUGAACACGUGAUCAAUUUGUAUAUUAAACUUCUUCAAAAAUAAUCAACGCAAUAUCACUCUUCUGUUAAAAAUGAGACUUAUUUUCGUGAGCGCAAAAUUUUCUGUUUUUCAGCAGGGUCAAAUCAACUAUCACCCAACAUGAUCCGAAAGGCUUUACUUGGCACUUUAUUGAAACAAAAGCAAUAAAACAUGAUUAAUAGAGUAGCUUAAUCAUGUUAACACAUAAAAACAGUAGGUAAAAGUGUUGGGUUGUCUCCCAACAAGCGCUUUUCUUUAAUGCCUUUUAGCUAGGCAUGAUGACUUCAAUGAUGCUCGCGUAAAAGAUAAGAAUUGAAACAUAAAGAGAACAUCAUGCAUGAUAAGUUCCUCUCUCAUAAUAAUUUUCAGUAGCAUCAUGAAUAUAUUCAUCAAUAUAACCAUUACAUAAAGCAUUCUUUUCAUGAUCCACAAGCAUAGAAAAUUCAUUACUCUCUAUGGCAUACAUGUCAUCAUAAUAAUCAUCAUAGAAAGCAACUUUAUUGCCAUAGUUAGUUGAAACCUCUUCCAAAAUAGUGGAUGUAUCACUAAAUAAAGUCAUGACCUCUCCAAAUCCACUUUCAUCAAUAUUGUAAUGAGAUUUAACACCCUCCAAAAUAGUGGGAUCACUACUACCUAGAGUUGACACUCUUACAAACCCACUUUUAUCAAUGUAAUCAUCGUAAAGAGGAGGCAUGCUAUCAUCAAAAUAAGUUUGAUCAAUCAAAGUAGGGGGACUAAAAAGAUCAUCUUCAUUAAACAUAGCCUCCCCAAGCUUGGGACAAACAUUAAUUGCAGCAAAUAAAUUCUCAAACAUGUCAUUCUCAUCAAACAUAACAUCCCCAAGCUUGUGGCUUGGCAUAUCAUAAGCAUAAUCACUCUCAUCAUUAAUAGUAUGAAUAGCACCAAUGGUAUAACAAUUGCUAUCAUCAUACUUUCCCAAGUUGGCGCCAAAAAUAUUUCCAAUAUUAUAAGAAGUAUCAUUAUCUUCCCAAUCAUAAUCAUCACAACAAGCAAUAGGCAUAACAAAAUCAUCAUCAAGUGUAUCAUCUUCCACAAUUAUUUUUGAUUCGUUUUCAUGAGGCACAACAAUAAUAGGAGCAACAUUAUUUGGGAGAGAUACCUUUUUACCUCUCUUCUUUCCUCUUUUCUUCUUCUUCACCACAUCACGUGUGGGUUUAAUUAAUCUUUUCAAGCUUCUUAUUGAUGAUAUUGCUUGGAUAGGAAGCUCCUCCUCGUUACCCGAUUCAUCAUAAUAAACACUAGGAGGGUAUUGAUACGUCCAUUUUGCAUCAUGCUUUUAUAUCGAUAUUUAUUGCAUUUUGGGCUGUUAUUACACAUUAUGUCACAAUACUUAUGCCCAUUCUCUCCUAUUUUACAAGGUUUACAUGAAGAGGGAGAAUGCCGACAGCUGGGAUUCUGGGCUGGAAAAGGAGCAAAUAUUAGAGACCUAUUCUGCACAGCUCCAAAAGUCCCGAAAGUUCACGGAAGUCAUUUUUGGAAUUAAUAAAAAAUACUAGGCGAAGAAAAUACCAGAGGGGGCCCACACCCUGGCCACGAGGGUGGGAGGCGCGCCCUACCCCCUGGGCGCGCCCCCUGCCUCGUGGGCCCCCUGGCAGGCCUCCGAUGCCCAUCUUCUGCUAUAUGAAGUGUUUCGUCCGAGAAAAAUCAUAUGCAAGCUUUCGGGAAGAAACUCCGCCGCCACGAGGCGGAACCUUGGCGGAACCAUUCUAGGGCUCCGGCGGAGCUGUUCUGUCGGGGAAACUUCCCUCUGGGAGGGGGAAAUCAUCGCCAUCGUCAUCACCAACGAUCCUCUCAUCGGAGGAGGGUCAAUCUCCAUGAACAUCUUCACCAGCACCAUCUCCUCUCAAACCCUAGUUCAUCUCUUGUAUCCAAUCUUUGUCCCAAAGCCUCAGAUUGGUACCUGUGGGUUGCUAGUAGUGUUGAUUACUCCUUGUAGUUGAUGCUAGUUGGUUUAAUUGGUGGAAGAUCAUAUGUUCAGAUCCAUUAUGCAUAUUAAUACCCCUCUGAUUAUGAACAUGAAUAUGAUUUGUGAGUAGUUACGUUUGUUCCUGAGGACAUGGGAGAAGUCUUGCUAUA